This 85540-nucleotide long non-coding RNA is filed under the name Gossypium raimondii (Peruvian cotton). Its description in RNAcentral is "long non-coding RNA (GRAI_LNC005098)". The stretch from base 61464 to 61580 matches the Rfam family "U5 spliceosomal RNA". The record is from RNAcentral. Lineage: Eukaryota; Viridiplantae; Streptophyta; Magnoliopsida; Malvales; Malvaceae.
UUUUUUUUUUUUUUUGUGAUAAAGCCUGAAUGAAUAAGUUGAGUUUUAUCCUUAGUUGCUUAAAUUUAGAUCUAGUAAUUGGGCUUUGAGGGAAAUUAAGCUCAUUUUUAUUAUGGCCUUUAAAUUGGACUGAGUUGCUGGUAUCAAAUGGUGCUAAGACUACUAAAGAAGACAUUUUUUAUUAAGAAAAUCCUGUAGCAAUCACUAAUAGCAAUGGCGAUAGCAACAUACUGACAUAGAAUGGGUUUAAUGAAAAGAACCAACAAUAGACGGUGAAAAGGACUGGAGGGCUUAAUGGAUUUAGCAAUUUGGAAAAUGGGAGUAAUGGUGAGAUUUUCAAGAACGAGAUGAGAGAUUUGGUUGAGAUUUUAUUUAAGCUUAACCCCAUGGUUGAGGAAUUUGUAAUAAAGCCUUGUUGCUUUAUGUACGACAGUUCCUUGUCAGUAAAUCCGCCAUGGUUGGAAACAUAAGGCUACAAAAACUGAAACUAAAAGAAACAUGUGUUGUGACUUGUGUUUUUCUUUGAUUUUACUGGAACAACAAGUCAACAACUAAAGGGGACACAGAAAGAGAGCAGAAGGAAGAAGAUGAAUCAAAAUGAAAAAUAAUUGUUAAAUAGAUGAUGUGAUCUAUGACAUCGUGUUUAUGUGGCAUAAAGGUUAUUUUGCUGACAUGUGGUUUGAUGAUGAUUAACUCAUGUUUUCUAUUAAAAUUAGACUGACUUCUAAAAAAAUUGUAAUGUUAAAGGUAUCAAUCUAAAACAAAAAAGCUCAAACCUAAAAACCUAAAAACCUAUAAAUAUUGAGGGUAUUUUUGAUAAUUAUGUCACUAAUUAUAUAAAUGUAUGUAUUCUGCAGUUAUGUAUGCCACCUAAAAUAUUUAUUUAUAGUGCACCCCACCAACAAUCUCAUCUAUUUUAAACUUGUUUGAAUUUAAAAGGAAAAAAGAAUUGUAUUUCUUUAAAAAUUUUACAAUCUUUUAUUGAAAGGUUGAAAAAAUAAUAAUUUGUUUUUAAAAAAAUUAGGUGUUUUUUUUUUAAUUUUGAAGAGAUUCUUCAUAAGUUCUAAAAUCAUGUUUUUAUUUAUAUUUUUUAAUUAUUUGUUAACCUAAUAUAAGAUAAAAUAAUAUCACUUUGAUGGUGGAUGAUUAAACAUUAAUUUGGUACAAAUAAAAUAGUAAGAGUAAAAUCGAAUAAAGAUGUAAAGAUUUAGUUCUAAAUUUAUUGUUAUGUCUUAUAUAUAAAACACUGAAAUAAUUUUUUAAUAAGAUUAUUUUACUCCUUUAUCUAAUGUACAAAGAACAUUUUUUCUAUUUUUUAAUAAAAGAAUUACAAUACAUUUACCUUUUACAAUAUUUUUUUUGGUGAACUACACUAGUAAGGUAAAGCCCUAAACAACAACAUGAUUAGCAUGACUCAAAUCCAUGCCCACAUGGGAUGGUGAACACAUGGGACAUACUUGGUUCUAUUUUCAAAUAAAUGAAACGAUUCAGUUUGCUAAUGACCAUUGGAAAUGGAAAAUUGAGUUAAGGAGGAGUUUGUUUGAUUGGGAAAAUGAUAGUGGAGGGAAUUUUGUGAAUCUCUUCAAGAUGGUAACGUGGAGUCCCUCAAAAAACGACCAGUUAUUAUGGAAAGCUCCCAGCUGUGGAAAUGAUUCCCCUAAAUCUUAUUGCACUGCCAUCAUGUCCUAAGGUCAGCUAUGUGAAUAUAUAUGGGUCGACCUUGCCCCUCCAAAAAUGGAAGUGUUUGUAUGGCAACUCAUUCGAGGUCGAAUUCCAACCAAGGAGGAGCUUGGUUUCAUCGGACAGAGCUGUAUGCGCUUUUUGUACCAAUGAUAUUGGUAGAUGUUCCAUGGCAAUAUUCUUGUAUUUGCAAAUCUAUUGUGAAGCUGAUAUUUGGUAGGAAAAAUUGGGGUGUCAAAGCCAUUUCAAGGCUUGCAAAAGCUGGUGUGGAUAGAAAGGAUCUUUGUAUGUUUGUGCAUGAUCCUGGGGGCUGAUUCAUCAUCGCUUAUCAACUCAAGGAAAAUGGGCUUUUAUCUGUUAUCUGUACCAAACCCCAGGUUAAACAAUUUUCUAAUUUCUAUCUACUAAACAUUCCAAAAUUUUCUGUAGCAAGAGAUGUGAUUUUGCUUUAUACUAGAGAAACAAGUCAGUUUCAACCAUGAUAAAUAAAACUGGUCCCCUCGUGAAGACAAAACGUUUCAAACUUGAAUUGUUGACGGCAUUUCUUCUUCCCUAAAUCAUGUUGCUAUCAUAGGAUGGGCGAAUCGACUCAGGAUAUUUCUUACCUACUUCAAUUUUUUAUUAUUUCAACACUACGUUCAAUUCCAAGUUUCUGUCUAUUUAUUGCUUCCGCUCCUUGUUUGGUUCCUAAUUUUGCCCUUUAACAACUUCAAGAGCCACUUGCCUAUGCCUGCCUCCCUCUAUGCGAGUUUGUGGUUACACUUUCAACAAUAUUAUCUUUAAAAUUCGAACCUACAUCUUUCUUUUGAGAGUGUAAUAUAUUUUAUCAUUAUACCCAACUAUUUAUAAUAUUUUAAUCAUAUACUAAUUCAAUUCAAAUAAUUAAAAUUAUAUUGUUUUUACAAAAUAACAAAUAUUACUACAAUGAUAUUCUUAUAUUUAUAUCUUCUUAUAUAAAAUAUUACUAUAAUAGAAUUUAAGCCUACAACAUUAUAAAUUUGAAAAUUUUAACAUAACCAUUUUAACCAAAAUCUGGUUUACUUAUUUUCAUAAUUCUUUAAUAAUUACAUUUUUAUAUAAUAUUUUCACUCGCAUAAUCUAAUAUUUUUUUAUUAUCAAAAUCAAGCUAGUCAUCAUCGGCAAUAGUAAUUAAUCCUCUCCUCAUAAAUAUUCUCCAAAGAGAUAAAUGAUUGGCUAUAAAAUGUGUUUCUUUUUCGUGAGCGGGGUUCAAACCCCCAACCACACAAUCUAAUAUUGUAAAAAAAUUCUUACAUCUAACAUUCUUACUUUAACACAUAUUUGGAUGCAUAAAUAAAAAUUAUGAUUAUGAAAUUAAUUGAAAGUGCUAAAUAGAUUCACAUGACUUUCAUUUGCCAACAAUGUAAUGUGAAAUUUAGUUCUUAAUGUUUACAUUUUUUAUUACUUUGACGCUUAUUCUUUUUUUGAAUUUAAUUUGGCCAUUAACCUUUUUAAAAAGAGUCAACUUGUUUUUUAAUGAAAAUGUUGAUUAAAACAUUAAUUUUUUAACAAUGUUGGUGUAGAAGUUCACGUAUACUCGAUGCUGAUAUGAUAUUAAUUGUCUUAUAUACUACGUCAAAAAAUAAUUUAAAAAUUAUAAAAAAAAUCAAAAUGUAUAUAAAAGAGUUCAUAAAAAAUUAGCAUGAAGUAUAUGUAGAUUUUCAUGUUAAAAAAUUUGUUAAAAAAUUGACUUUUUAUCUGAAUGAUUGAUGAUCAAAUUUGACUCUUUUACAAAAAGUUAAAAGUCAAGAUUAAUAAAAUAUAUAAAUAUAAAUAUUGGGAACUAAAUUUAGCAUUAUAUAUUUUUCAAAUCUGAAUAGAUAUAUAUGUGUAAAGAUGAAAGACAGCAUGGGGUAGUAGUCCAAAUUUUAGCAAUGAUAUUAUACAAAAUUCAACACUUGUAACUCUAAUCUAUUCUUAAACUAUACCUUCAAGACAAAAUAUAGUUGAGCAGAUUCAGAAGUACAAAACAAUGGAUAAACUAAACUAAGCUUUGACACCAAAUUUAAAUCACAACACAGCGCUUACAGACAAAUUAUAACUUGGUGCCGUCCAUUGUAUUAUAACUGAUUAAAGCUGUUUUUCUUACACACUUUAAAAGCAAUAAAGCAAUAAAGGGCAACUCAACUUGUCUCCUACUAAUUUUUGGUUCUAUUUUUCCCACUUUCCCAUCUUUACACAAACUUGCUUCAAUAUCAAUUUUAUAUAUGUUUAUGAUAGUUAAAAAUAUUUAUGAAAAUAGUUCGGUUAUAAAUUAUUUACAAGAAUGAAAUAUUUAAAUAGUGUUUUUAAGCGUCAUUAACGUAUUAAGCGAUAUCAACUUUAAAAGUACUCUUAUCAGAUGAAAAAUUAUUUUUUAAGUGAUGUUGUUACCUUAUCAAAUGAGAUUUAAAUUAUACUAUAAAAAUACGGAUAAUAUGAAUGUUAAAAUAAUAUAUAUAUAUAUAUAUAUAAUGAAUAAAUAUACAUAUCAAUGAUACUAAUGUAUCAAGCAUGAUAGAUUUAAAGUUUGAAAAAGAAGAAGAUUUAGAUAUAUUAGACCUUUUCUUCAUACCAAUAUAAACAAUGGCCCCUUCCCCUCCUCCCACACAUACUUCAGCUAAAGCAAAGGUAAAAAAAGGAAUUUACUUAUAAUAAAUUGUAUAUUAUAUAUUUAUAUUCUAUUAUUAAAUGUUUAGAUUUUAGGGUUUGAGGUUAUAUUUAUAUCUUUAUAUUUAUAUUUUGGGAUAGUUUGUGAAUCUGUUUCUAAUAGUGUAUGUUUAUAGUUUUUGACUUUUUUUUUUAAAUUUUUUAUGUUUAUAAUUUAUAUAUUAAUUAAUUAUGUUCAUAUUUUAUUUACAUGUGGUUUUUUUAGAUAAAAAAGCAAAUUAACUACGGAAUAUCUACAAUAUUAUAUGCUUAACUUCUCCAUCAAUAGAUUUAGGGUCUCCUAGAAUAUUAUAGAACCGUAAGGAAGAUUUCUCAUCGAAGCAACCAAUUCAUAGUAUUUGUACUUUAGAGAUUAGCCUGUGAAACCGAGAGGUAAGUGUGUGUGAUUGAAUUUUUUUUUGUUUUUGUUUUUAUGUUUGAAAUUUAUAUUUUAAUUGAUUAUUUACGUUUAUAUAUAUAAAUUAUUAAUUUGGAUAGAAUAGAAAUUUUCAAUUGCAAACAUUCGGGUUAAGGUAAUUUAUUUUAGUAUUUUUUCUGUGUAGUUGAUGACUAAUAUUUUUAUGUGGAUAUUUUAUUUAAAUAAAAUAAAAAUAAAAUUAUUUACGAAAAUUAGCUGUGCUAAAUAUUAUUAUGUGAAAACGUUAUUGUUUUAAUAUAAUAUGUUUCUUCAAUUUUGUUUGUGCAAAUAUAUUGAAAUGGCUUCGUUGAUUAGAUUAAUCAAUCACAUUGCCAUGAUGAUUAAUGUGUUGGUAAAAAUAAUUGCUACUUGCUAUUCACGAUUAUUUUAUAAAUUUGCAUAUCAUUAAUAUUUUAAUUGUCAUAUUUAGUUAAUAUGGUAAUUAGUUAUGGACAGGGUGAGUCCCGCAUUUUGAGAGCACGUGUCCACGCUCCAAGCUACAACUGAUCAACAAAUGUAUUUUACUGUACUUGAAUGUUACGGGAUUUGAAACGACAAAAUUGAUUAGGACAUUUGAACUUAAGGCUGACUUAUGAAUAACCAUAAGAAUUGAUUGUAAAAAAAAUUAAAUUUAUGUUUACUAGUAUAAAAUAUAAAUUACACUAAUAUAAAAACGAUACAAUCUAUAAAAUUUAAAAUGAACCAAAAUCAAAGUUUGUUAGUUUAUUUUUAUUCAAAUUAUUUUUUAAAACUAGUAUUUUUUAUUGAAACGUACUUGAACAUUAAAUUAAGGGUCUAUUUGAUUGACGGAAUUGAUUUUCCGGAAAAUCAUUUCCAACUUUUCCAGCGUUUGAUUGGCGGAAAACAUUUUCCAUUUGGAAAAUGAACUCCAAAACAAGGGAAAAUGGGUUACAUUUUAGGGAAAAUGUCUUACCCUUUCAAUUUCCGUAAGACAUUUUCCGUGCUCUCCUCUCUAUCGCAUCCUUCAUUCCUUCCUUCAUUUCCGGUAGAAAAUUGCUUCUGUUUAUCGAUUUUCCAGUAACUAAUUUUUUUAAUUAUUCAAUACUUUUUUAACACAAUUACAAAUAAUUUAUUUGAUAUUAGUUUUUUUCAAUUUAUAACGAUUAAUAUUGUAGCUUAAUAAUUGAGUAUUAUUAUAAAUAAAUCAUUGCAAUAUAUGUAAAAAUAAUUUAAAAUAUAAAAAUUUAUUAAUAUAUAUUAAUAUAUGUAAAAACAACUUUUUCAGAAAAUAUUUUCAGGGAAUCUGCCAAAUAGCAGAAAAUAUUUUACACAGAUUCAAUCAAACACCAGAAAAUAUUUUCAAGUAAAUUAUUUUACGGAAAAUAUUAUACUGACAAUCAAACAGACCCUAAACAUUCCAACAUACAUGCAUGUCUCCAGAGGAAAAAACCAAACAUACAUGAUCAAUUUUAUCCGUGAAUUGCUCUUUUUUUCUGGUGUAGCAUUUUUUCCAUGGGUUCAUUGUUUGUGAUUGUACUCCAACAAUUGGACCCCAUCCUAUACCGUACCAUGGCCGGGACAAUUAGGACAUUUUUCCAUGCACCUUUCCACGUACACCUUAACCCUUUCAUUUUAUAAAUAUUGUAUAUCCUCUCCAAAACCCAAAUCCCAAAAAUAUUCAUUGUCCAUACUCAGCUGUCAGCUUACCUAAUUCCGCCCCUUCCAUUCAUACGAGAGAGAGUAGGGACAAACAAACGCCACAACCACCAGCAUCAGCCGCAACCGCCGCCGCAGGAAGGACAAUAAGUACUAUGCGAUAAUGGACAGUCAGGAUCUUUCCCCACCAUCACACAUGGAUGCAUCUCGACCCUCCCUCGGUUUCCCUCUCGGCACUGCUCUCCUCUUAAUCAUCAUUUUCAGCUUGAGUGGCUUCUUCUCUUGCUGCUACCACUGGGGCAAAUUUAGAUCCCUCCGUCGAUCUUUCACCGACGCCGCCGCAGUUCCCGAUGACGAUAUCGAAGCAUCCCCCUCCAAACCUAAGCCUAACUGCAUGGUAAAACUUUUCCCUCAACAACAUGACAAAUUUUCAAGUACUCGAUUAACCUUGUUAGAUAAAAAAGGGUCUUUCAUAGUUUUUGACUUUCAACAAUCAAUUAAACAUGGAUUUGGGUUUUCUUGUUUUUCAGGAUUUAAAGAGAAACCAGAGCGAAAGCUUGCCUGUUUUAAUGCCUGGAGAUGAGAUUCCAAAGUUCAUAGCAUUGCCAUGUCCAUGUGAACCUCCACGAGAAGCUAAGGUUGUAAUAGAAGUGCAGAAGACACCCAAAUCACCUCGUUUUCCAGUUCCUUUGUAUUAGCAAAUUUGAUUGUUGUAAAUAUUGAAUCCCACUGUAGAUUGAUUGUUCAAUUUGUAUAGUGUUCACUGUUUACAGUUUUUCUUGCAAGUAGGUAGUUGUAAAUUUAUUAUGCCAUUUUUUUUCCUUGACUAACAGAGAGCCAGCUCUGUAUGUUUUCAGGAUAUACAAAUGUCUGGAAAUUUAGCCAUCUGGGGUUAAUCAGUCCAGAAUUGUCUAUUCUGAAUUACAAUCCUUACAUCGUGUUUAUCGAAAUUACAAACAUGGUAAAUGCUUUCAUAAAAAAAAAAAAAAAGACACAAAAUAACAGCAGAAAAUUGAGAUCCACGUCUCUAACUAACACUUGUCAGUGAAGAAUCCAUGCACGUCUUAGUCCAUAACUAAACAAACCUGACCCAGUUUUAUAUUGUAAGAAAACUUACAAGUCCUGCAAACUAAAACCGGCAUGCUUUAAGUGCAUCGAGUCUUUUAAUUUGGUUGGUAAUACCCAGUUUUCUAGACGACUUAAUUACUUUUACAUUAUUAUUUCUAUAGUAAUUAAUGUGAAUCCAAAUGGAAACGGAUAUUUUCAAAAAGAAAACAAGGGAAGAUUUGGAUGAAGACUAGUUUAUCUUUCUUUUUAUUUUUAAUCUUAAAAGCUUCCAUCCAAAAUAGGAAUUAAUGUCAAUUUGGGACCAUUUUGGUAUUUCUACUCAUCCAACCUAUGUAGUGGAAGCAAUCAUUAAAAUCAUAUUCAGUUAAUUCAGUUUUAAAAUUUUAAAAACUGAAAAAAACAAUGGAAGAACCGAUUAAAAUAUGUCUCUGCCCUAGGGUGGCCACCCAUGUUCUAAUGUUGAAAGUAGUUUAAAAUAUUGUUUUCCAACUUUUAAGGGGUCCAAAAAAGUGUUUUCUUUUAAAGGUUAAAAACAAAUUUUUACCAACUUUUAAGGGAUUUUAAAAAAAAUUUCUCCAACUUUUAAUAACCUAAAACAUUAACUAGGACCCAAAAAUAUUAAGAAACAACCUCUCUAUGCGUCUACUUGUACUUGUUUGGGAGAAAUGAUAAAAACAUCAUGUUAAAAGAAUAUCGAAUCUCCUCGGGAUUCAUGGUAUCAUAACCCUACAAACAUUAAUACCCUUUUUUGAAUUGUUUUUACUCUAACCCACUUCGGAUGCCACUGUGUUUUUCUCUCCAUAUGACCUAAUUUCACUAUUCACAGCAUUAUGUAUCAUUUACGAGUUUCAUGUUGAUUUUCAUUUUUCUUGCCGACGGUUUAUGUUUUCUUUUUCUUUUUUAUAAUAAAAGAAGACAACCAAAUAUCUUUAACUUAAAAAGAUCUUACAAAAAAAUUAUCAAAUUUAUCCUCUUAAGCUAACUUCUUAACAUGAAAUGUAAGAGCUAUUUUGCCCGGGGCCCAAAACACUAAAGCCCAAUACCAGCAAAAAAAACACACAGUCCAAAAUAAACAGUGGCCCAAAAUACCCAACAGGCCCAAACUAAGAAACCCUAGCCCAAAAAUUAACCCCAUUCAACAGUACAAAACCCUAGCCCCCAAGCCUCCAUGCGCCGCAUGCCCAGGCUCCAGCCCCAACGCCGUUUCGCCUCCUCUGCCAUGCCUGGCUACCACCGCUCUUAGCCGCCUUUCCUCCGCAUGCUCUGACACCUGCAAAAAUUGAAUGCAAAAGGCACGCAACAACAGAAGAAACAAAUAGCAAAAAGACAAAGAAAUAGAAAUUAAAAGUUGUGUAGAUCGGCUAUAAAAGCCGAAAAUCUCUCCCUUGUAAUCUUCUUCUUCGUUUUUUACGAACGCACAUAAGUAAAAUCAAAAACAGAAUACAGACUGAAAAAAGGUUGAAAAAUCCAAUCGUUUUUCCUCUUUUCGUUUCUUUAUUUUCUGUUCUUUUCAUUUAUUUUUAUUUUGAAUCAUUUGUUCAUUUCUUUUACAAAAACCCGUUUUUACAAAUAAUAUAGAAUAAAGAGAGAAGCAAAAAGAAAUACCUGGAACGCCCGUCGGUCAUGUCGUCGGAGGCCUCUCCGUCGCUGAAAUCGACUCAUAAGGGCGGGAUGGAAGUUUCUUUUUUUUUCUUUUCUUCGCAGCCAUCGAACCAAAAAACGUGGCCUUCGAACAAGAUCUGAAGUGGGGCUUAAAGUAGCCCCUACGCGCAGCGACGGCCACCGUCCAAGGUGGUCACGGCGGUGCUUAGCAAUGGCCUUGUUGGCUGGAUUUGGAAAGGCUGAGAGGGAGAGACCUUUGGCUCUCUCUGUUUUUCUUUCUAAAAAUGAAGGAAGGGAUUUCUUUUGUUUUUUUUUGUUAUUUAUGUAAGCUAAUGCAGCGCCGUUUGAAGGAGAGUGACCUGCACCUCUUUGCCCUAAUGGGUAAUUUGCGUAUUCGACCCCUCCCUUUCGCGCUGAAGCACAAUCUGACCCUUUUAUUUUUUAUUAUUUGGGCCAAAAAUUCUGUGUCGAAUUCNNNNNNNNNNNNNNNNNNNNNNNNNNNNNNNNNNNNNNNNNNNNNNNNNNNNNNNNNNNNNNNNNNNNNNNNNNNNNNNNNNNNNNNNNNNNNNNNNNNNNNNNNNNNNNNNNNNNNNNNNNNNNNNNNNNNNNNNNNNNNNNNNNNNNNNNNNNNNNNNNNNNNNNNNNNNNNNNNNNNNNNNNNNNNNNNNNNNNNNNNNNNNNNNNNNNNNNNNNNNNNNNNNNNNNNNNNNNNNNNNNNNNNNNNNNNNNNNNNNNNNNNNNNNNNNNNNNNNNNNNNNNNNNNNNNNNNNNNNNNNNNNNNNNNNNNNNNNNNNNNNNNNNNNNNNNNNNNNNNNNNNNNNNNNNNNNNNNNNNNNNNNNNNNNNNNNNNNNNNNNNNNNNNNNNNNNNNNNNNNNNNNNNNNNNNNNNNNNNNNNNNNNNNNNNNNNNNNNNNNNNNNNNNNNNNNNNNNNNNNNNNNNNNNNNNNNNNNNNNNNNNNNNUUUUUGUUUAAAACUUUUAUUACUUAUUGUACUUAAAGCAUCUAUUUUAAAUUAUUUUUACUUUAGAUUGCCUUAUAUUUUUUAUUUUCCUUGGAUUAUUAAUGUUGAUAUUAAGAUUAUCUACGUCAUGUGUUUAUUGACAUUGUAUAUACUAUGAUUUGCUUAUUUGUAUUCUUGUAUUUGGCAUGCAUUUAUGUACUAUCUAUUUCGUAAUUCAUUAUACUAUGUUCCUUUAUCGUUCCAUUUCAUUUCAUCACAUUAAAAAUUGCGCUUGAUUUGUAUUUAUUUACAAUAAAUCUUUCUAUUUCAUCACAAAUGGAACAAAUGUACGCUAUUCAAGUGUGGUACUCGCUAUUAUUAUUAAAAAGAUUUUUUAGAAAAAUAAAGCAAUAUUUUGCAUUUUGGAAAUUUGAGAACUUGUACCCUAACUUACUGGGUCUCGAUUUUCUCGUUAAACCCAAAUAGCAAAAUGUCCUUUUAAAUUUUAAACACAUAAAAUUUCAAAAAUAAAGGCAAUAUUCUAUAUUUAGAAAAUUCGAGAAAUCGUGCCCUAACUUACUGGGCUCCGAUUUUUCUCGUUGAUUCUAAGUAACUGAAUAUUCUUUUAAAAUUAAAAUAAAUGAGGUUUAAAUAAAAAGGGAAAAGGCAAACUUACUCUUGAGGUACGAGAUGUUGGGUCCUAACUUACUGGAUGUGACAUCUUGUUACUUCGAGAUAAGGAGGCAUUUUCCACUUUGGAUUUCCAAAAAUAAAAACAAUAUUCUGUAUUUAGAAAAUUCGAGAAAAUCGUGCCCUAACUUACUGAGCUUCGAUUUUUCUCGCGUUGAUCCUAAAUAACCAAAUAUCCUUUGAAAAUUAAAAUAAAUGAGGUUUAAAUAAAAAAUAAAAGGCAAGUUUACUCUAAAAAAUACGAGGUGUCGUGUCCUAACUUACUGAAUGUGACAUCUUGUUAAUUCGAGAUAAGGAGGCAUUUUUCAUUUUGAUUUAUUCGAGUGAUUUUUUAAGAUAACACAAUAUGAAGAGGGAUCGUAUUUUUAAAUUAUUUUCGAGUUUUUAAUUUUUGACACCAAGACAUUAAGUAAUCAACUAGGUACCAAUUUUUGGGCGUAUCGAGGGUGCUAAUCCUUCCUCGUGCGUAACCGACUCCCGAACCCGUUUUUCUGAAUUUCGUAGACCAAAAUCGUUGUUUUAAUAAAAAUUAAAUCGUUUAUUGAAAACAACCACUUUUCGGUGACCCGAUCACACCUCAUCAAAAAAGGAUUGGUGGCGACUCCUAUUUUCGUUUUUAUUUUUUUUAAAACCCAAGUCGACCCCGUUUUCAAUCAAAAAAUGGUGUCAACAUGAAAUAUAGGAAAAUCAAUAAUUGUGAGCUCAGAAUUUCCUCUUGGACAUUAUAUUCCCCUCUCUUCGAAUGAAUGAGAAUUUUUAUCAUUUGAAAGCACUUCUUAACUACAGUGUCAUCGAAUUACAAUUCCCAGAUCUAUUCAUAAGACAUUCGAUGGCUUCCAAACAAUCACUCUCCUAUAAUCUUUUAGCCUAGCAACUUCAAGCCCGUAAAGAAUAGUCUAUAAUUCAGCGUUGAAAAUAGAACAUCUACCCGAUUGUUUCCUAAAGCCUUCCUUCCAACUUCCCAAUGAGUUUCGUAUGACUUCUCCAGCUAUCUAUUAAUUAUCAAUUAUACUUGUAUACCCAUCAGUAUUCAUCUUCCCAACUAUGAUGACUUGUUAGAUCUUGAAUAAUGAAAAUCAUGGCCAGGCCAUGUUUUGUUUGUUGAUUGAUUUGUAUUAAUGUAACGUUUGGCCUUUUUCUUGAAUCGGUACUUUAACCUUUUCUAUUCGUUGUCGUGGGAAUGGAACUGGGCCAUGCUCUUUUAACCUUUGUGUGAUUCGAAUUUUUAUUUUAAGAACCGAGCGGCUAAUGAAAUGAUAUAUAUUCCGGCCAAUCCAAUCAUCCGUAAUUCUGAAUAAUAGUAAUUACAAUAGAUUUGAUGUUGGGUGCUCAAAAAAGCAGUUUGAUCUGCUCCAUCUUAUUCAAAGUAGGGACUCUUGUAAACGUACGGAUUAUAAGCGUUCCAUCAAGUGGGACCCAUUUCUUGACCAAAAUCACAUGGGGACACACCCAUACACCUUUUUAUGGACAAUUCUUAGUGGGUUUUCAAUCAUCUUUACUUUAUCCCACACAUGUGAUCUGCACUUUAUCGGGAUUCAAUUUACAAUACUAAAAAUAUAAUUUUAUUAUUUUAAUAAUUUAUAUUUUUAUAAUUUUUAAAAGAUUACAAAUUUUAUUAUUUUUAAAAGAGAUUGAAGUGUAUCUUAAUAUUUACUAAUUUAAAAUUUUAAAAAAUUUAAAUGAUAAUUUUUUUUUAUUUUAAGGGGGCUAAGUACUUGCGAACUCCUUAGCUACGCCCUGAAUAUAUACACUACUUAGUAUUCUUUUCUUUCUAUUUUGUUAUUGUUCUUUAUAUCUUAUUUUUUGUGAGUCAAAUUAAAAUUUAAUGAUAAAAGAAUGAAGUAUUAAACAAAUGUUUUAAAUAAAAAGAUUAAUUUAGUUUUUUUACUUAUUUUAAUUAUCCAAACAAAGGAAGUGUGCAUCAUUUUGUUUCUUCUAAAAUAUUUUUCUUUUUUUAUUAACUUCAAAAUUUUAGACGUAAAUUAAGGAUUUAUUAGAUGCAAAAAAUAUGAAUGUAAAAUAAAAGGAAUUUUUUUUCAAAAGAUAAAGAAAAUUUAUUAUUGAUUGAUUGUGAUGUUUGAAAACAGUACUGGAUUGGCCAACAUAAUGAUUCUCAAGGUAUCACUCAUUUGUCGAGUAGGGAAAAACUAGAGAUGAACAUUUCAUGGUAGACUCGAAUGCACUUUUGAUUAAGAAAAAGUAAAGAGAGCUUAAAGUCUUCAAUUAAUCACUAAAUUUAGGACAUUAAUACCUUUAUCUUAUCAUUAAAACAGCUUUAUUUCCAACACUUUUUUAUAUUAUUGUUUUUUUUUAAACUUGGUAGAUUUGUUUCUCCAUCACUCACAUAUUAAUUUUGUCAUGUUUAUAUAAAAAUAGUGAAUUAAAUAUAUAACAAAUAUGCUAGUCACUGAUGCAUUGUUGGUGGAAUUUUUUAAUUGAUGUUGAUGAUGUUUUUGUUGACAAAAAGCGAUAUUAAUUAGUAAAUCAAGUUGGAAAAAGCAAAUAAGGAUAAGACAAAAAGAGUGCCUAAACUCAAGUCAUCGGGCUUACUCAAUACAGACAUUAGUAAUAGUAGUAAUAAUGGAAUAACAGUUAGUAUAAUUGGUGUAGUUCGCUCUUAAUAAAAUUGUUCUUGCCAAGACAUAACUAACUUUAUUAACAUCCUUAUAAAUCUAACAAAAAAAAUACUAAAAAUCUAAGAUAAUACAGACACAACCUUUUAGUAACAAACUUGAAUCCAAAGCAUCCACUCCAUCAAGAUGAAACGCUUGCCAAAGCUUUUAACUAUUACUCUCUAUUACAAUAUUUAUCUAAAUGUAAAGACUUGAGUCAGGAACAUGUUUAUCAGCCAAAACAUGUCUCCUUCUGUCUUCUUUUUUAUCAGCCAAAGUCUUAUGAACAAGUUUAUUAAUCGACAUAGCACUUGGUAUAAAACCUAGUUGCUGCCACACAACAAGCGUGAAAGGACAAUGUAUCAAAAUGUGAUUGAAAUCCUCAUUAGCUUGACGACAUCUCGGACAAAGAGGAUAAAUAUUCACCCCACAAGUCAAAAGCUCACUAAUACAAGACACAAAAUCACACAAUAGUCUUUAUAAAAAAAUUUAAAUUUUUUAUGGAAGAACCUCAUUCCAAAAGGAUUGACAUGAACAAACGGAGAGUCACUCAACAACCCAGUAAUUUCUUGAUCCUACUUAAAUUUAAUACCUCAUUUUCAAUAUACAAAAUAACAAUUACAUUGCUAUAUUAUGACUCAAUAUUAAAUUUUAAUAUAUAUAUAUAUAUAUAUAUUCCACUUUUUUGGAUAAAAAUUAAAAAUGAAUCAAAUAAUUCAUAUUAAAUUAUGACACAUGAAUUGAUAUGGUAAAGUUAAUUUAAUAAAGAUUAUAACGUUUUGGGUAGAUUUUUUAAAAUGCAAAAAAUACAUAAAAUUUUUUAAAAUAAUAUUUACAACUAAAUUAAAAUUUAAUUAAAUACAUUAUAAGAAAACAAAUUAAUAAAGGAGGUCAUCAUCUAAAAAAGAAGUGAAGAAUGAGAACAUUUAAAGGGUGGGAUUCCUUGAAACUUGAAAUACAACUCCUUAGAUAAGUACACCGUUUGAGAUAAGCUCAUAUUUACGUAAAUAAGUAGAUCUUUCUAUUUCUAAAUAAAAUUUCAACCAACAAAAAAAAAGAAAACCAUUAUUGGCAAAUUGGAAAGGGAUAAGACAAUAAAUCAAAUCAAAUCAAGAAAAGUUAGGUUUUUGGGUGCAAAUCUUGAAGCUCACGUUGCUUUAGUGGGGCACAAGAAAUCAAUCAACCAAAGCUACUUGCAUUAAAAGUUUGUAGUAGUGGUAGUGGAAUUCCCCAUAAAAUGUUAGGUAUGCUUGUAUAAACAGUGACCUCAUUUAUAAUUAGAAGCAUUUUUUUAAACAAAAAUAUGAAUAUAUUGAUCAACUUUUUUUUAAUUUUUAAAUAAGGAAAUAAUAUGUUUUAGCGCAAUUGAAUUUACGUUUUCUUAUAUUGAUAAUAAUAUCGAUGUUAAUCGAAUUAAUGUUCAAUCGACAUAAAAAAACAUUUUCUAUAACAAUAUAUGAAUUUUUAUAUUUUAUUUUACUUUCAUAAUGAGAUCUUUUAUUAUUUCUUUUUAUUUACAACAACUAUAAAUUAUAAAAUACUUCUUUUUUUUAAAUUUUAGUGAAAUCAAUUAUAUUUAUAAGUGAAAUAAAAAUAAUAAAUUUAAGUUAAGAUAUUAUAUCACAAUAAUAUUUUAAACUUAUAUUGAAAAUUUACUAAUUGUAUUUUACUAAUGAAGACAAUAUUUAAUGAACGGGAUUAUAUUAAUAAAUUUUAUUAAAAAUAUAAUUUAAAUAUCGAUAUUUAAUAAUAAUAUUAACAUAUUAUACUUUUUUUUAAAGUUGAAAAUUGUAAAAAAUUGCCAAAUACAGUAUAAAUCUCAUAUGUUAAUGUUAUUAUAAUAAAUAUACAACAAUCACCUUUCAAUAUGAGCUAAAAUAUUGACAAACAAAUAGAAUAAUUUUCAAAGGGGUAGAUAACCCUGAUCCCCCUAAAAUGAAAAUUUUCACAUUUAAUCUUUUUAAAAAAAUUAAAUUAAUGUAUAGUAAAAUUACAUUUUAACCACAUCAAAAAUGAGAAAUUUUAUUUAAUCUUUUAAAAACAAUAAAGAUAUAAGCUAUUAAAAUGAUGAAAUUUUACUUUUACUAUCACAAAAAUGUACAAUUUAAUUUUGAUCCCUUAAAAGAAUCUCUGAGUCACUUUUGAAAUAGUUACUGUUUAAGCAAACCAUUUUAUUAUUGAUGUAGAUGUGAGAAAAAUAAUCAUAUUAGUGGGAAGCUUAGUUCAACAUAUUUUAGGAUAUUAUUCCCAACUUAAUUUUAGCGCUUUCCACUACUUAUUGUCUUAUUUUGAUGAUAAACUUUCUAACAUUUAAAACCUGUUGUCUUAUCGGGAUGUCUCUUUGAUGUUCUUUAGCAUGUCUGUCAAUAUAGGAUGAUCUUUUAUUUAUCUUCAUGCAUUUUAUCAUAUUUAUAGUUGUGUUUUUUUCUUGAUUUAUUUAUCGGAAAUUGAGAAUUCAUACAUGAUUUACAUAAAAAGAAGCUUAAAUAUAAUAUUUCAAAAUUCUAAAACUUCAACUUUAUUGAACUGGUACCCGUAUUGUAUUUUUUAAGUAUAAUGUCAAAUUUAUUUUUUAAUGUUUACAUUAUUCUACUUUUGAGCUAAAUUUGACCAUUAAUUAUUCAAAGAGAGUCAGAUGGUAGUCCAUGUAUAUUUUAUACUAACAUGAAAUUGUUUUAUAAAAUAUUCAAAAAAUAAAAUUUUAAAAUUUUAAAAAUUCAAUAAAAUUGACAUAAAGUACACAUAGAGUGCCAUGUCUAAAAAAUUAAUAUUUUAGUUUACAUUUCCAUUUAAAAAUAAUAAUUUAACUCUUUUUAAAAGGUUUAUGGUCAAAUUGACUCGUAUUAAAAGGGUGAGGGUCAAUUUUAUCUAUAAAAAAGGAGUCAAAUUGAUAAAAAUGUAAAUACUAAUGACUAAAUUUGUUAUUAUACCUAUUUUUAAAGAAAAUUUGCUGAGAUUAUUUUUCUAGCCCAUUCUAAUUGGGCCUGCUAAGUUAACGUGUGUGUAUAACGACACGUGCAAAGGCCAAUUCAUAUCGACGACCUAAAAUUUGAAAAGCACUUUCCCUCUCAAAAACUCCCCAACAUGAGGUGAUUAGACAGGAAAAACGAAAGCCUACCUAGUGUUCGUGAAAUGCUAACUAGAAAUUCCGUUCCUAGAACCCCACAAGCCACUGCCAUGCGCAGAUCUGCAAGGCUUCUCAACCAAAACACUCCCUUUAAGUCAAAGGUCAAUUCCAAGGACAGUACUGCUAGCUCUACAGUUAAACUUUCCAAGAAACCCAUACACUCAAAUCAUGGUUCCACAAAUCAUAUAAGGUCAACGCCUCAGUUGCGAAGGUCUCAAAGAACGAGCACUGUUUCAAGUGAGAUAUCAAGAAAUUGUGCAAACUCAACGCCUGGGUUGCGAAAAUCUCCAAGAUUGAGCAGUGGGUCUUUGUCUAACAAGCCCGAGGGUAGCAAAUUUGUCGAGACAAAGAAUGAUGGAUCUAAGAAGAACGAGAGUAUAAAGGAGGGAUCGUUGGAUGAAAAGGAAAGGGAAGCUUCUGUUGGAUUGAAAGUGACUACAGUGGACAGGAAAGAAAGUGAAAGAAGAGAAGUUCGUGAAAGAAAUGAAGUUGUUGGAGUUAAGAGAAAGAGAAAGUGGAAGCCUGACAAUAGAGGGGAUACAGUUCUUCAAGGGUGGACAAGGGAGCAAGAAUUGGCUCUGCAAAGAGCCUAUUUUUCAGCCAAGCCAACGCCUAAUUUUUGGAAGAAAGUUUCAAAGCUGGUAUAUUUUCCAUUCCUUUGAUAUCUGGGUUUAAAUUUCAUGGAUUUUUUUUCUUAUCAUAAUGGUAUAGAUUUGAUGUGCUUAUUUUGUGGUUUUUCAAAUUCAAGCUAAAGCCUAUGGAUAUCUAUGCCGUGUUUGUCCAAGACAUAUGAUUCAGCUUAUAUGUUUUAUGUGUUUCCUAGUUGCUGAAAACCUGAAUAUUACUUAAUCAUUCAUGAAAAUGAAUGUUAUUAGGAACUUGGGAUGUUUCUGAUUUUGCUAUGUCUCACACAUGAUUCAGCUUAUAGUACCACUACCAGCCUAGUUACAACUAGAGCUUUGAACAAGGGGGGCUUGUGGGAUUAGUCAUCAUGAAAACAACAAUUUUUUAACAAAUGAAGGAAAAUUAAUUAUAGAUUUACAGCAUUAAACCUUGUGAAACUAGACUAGUGAGUUAUACUGCAUUCAGUUUUGUUAGAUGUGAAUGCUGUGCAUUUCGCUAUUAGUUGUGUUUAGAUGUGUAUGACUAUUCAUGAUUUACUCUUAUGUGAAGAUUUUCUGCUGUUUGUUUCGGUGUCAAAUACGGCCUUGCAUUUGCUCUGAUCAUUUAACUCCGACUCUAUCUCAGGUGCCAGGAAAAUCUGCCCAGGAUUGCUUUGAUAGAAUCCAUUCCAACCAUUUAACUCCAACUCAGCCUGAGCCUCGAUCGAGGGCAAAUGUAACAAACUUGUCGCCUAUCGAACAUUUGUCAUUCUCCGCAAGCAAAUUACUAGAGUCCUCUGCACCAAGGAAUAAAAGCUCAGGCCGCGGUAAACAGAAAAGCUUUCUCGUACAGAAAAAGACAGUGAGACAUUUGUUGCGAAAGCAUCAUCUUGUGGACGAAUGUGAUGAAGCGGAUCUGUUCUCCAUUCUUGAGCCCAACACAAGUCCAACCAUGCAUGGUGUACCGAAAGUUAUGGUUUGUACCCCGAAAAAAUUAUUGGAAAAACAGGGAUUUGUCCACAAGUGUCAUGAGAGAUCUUCUUUGGGUCGUAAGAAGCACCAUUCGAGACUUGGUAACUCAGGUACUGGAGCCCUUGUUAGUCCCCCAGUGUUGAAGCAGAUUAAAAAUAAGGCUUUACAUGAGAAGUACAUCGACCAGCUACAUACCCGGGAGGCUAAGAGAAAAGCUGAACGUACACAAGUUGAAAAAGCAGUACUUGGAAAGGAGAACAGAGGAUAUGUUCAAAUCCAAGUAGACAAGGUUAAAGCAGCAAAAAAUGCAUUAGUUUCUGAUGCAAGAUAUGUUAUUAACCAGAUGCAACAACUGCAGACCACUAGUGUUGACAACUCUUCGGAGUUGGAUGACAUCGAUGAUGAUGACGACGAUGAUGUUAAGCUAUAACAUUUUGAUUUUUAUUUUGUAUGAUAAUCUGCUAUAACUAGAAUGCUAAUUGUGUCAUAUGUUGUUUAAUGAACUUGUAGUUUAGCAAAUUGGAACAUAGUAAUUUAUUUCCUCAUUCAAGUAAUAAAAAGGAGGAGGUUGAUUUCAAGUUGUAAACUUUUAGGUUAAUAUAUUUAUAACCAUGUAAGUCUCAGUGAGUAUUGGUCUAUGGAUUUGAUAUUUGGAGAACCAUGGUUUAUAUCUAUGUUGAAAUAUAUUAGAAAUAUAUAAGCAUCGAACAUCAAUAAUUUUUGGAAAGUGGUAUUGUCUGCUCAUUUGCUUUGAUUUGAUUCAACCAUGGAACUUGUGUUAAGUAGGAUCCUGGGGAUCGACGAAAAGUACAAUGCAUGGGAACACAUGGAAAUACCCGUGAUGAAAUUGGGUCCUACUUCAAGGACAACUCUUAUUUAACAGAAUCUUUCAAUCAUGAAAUCGGAAGAUCGAUCCUUAUUUACGGGAUGAUUAGCUGUUUAUCUCUUUAAAAAACAUCUGCUAAACGAUCUAUGUAAUACCCCCAAUUCGUAUCCCUCGUCUGUACCGGGUUACGGAACAUUACCGGAAUUUACAGAUCAAGCAGACAAAAAUCUCAAACAUUUUAUAUCAUUGAAACAAGUCAUCAAAGCAUCAUUUUAAUCUAAAUUAUAAACUCUCCAAAAUUAAUCUUAUAAUUUCAUUUACAAUCAAACCAUAAAAUAACUAUUAUUUAGACACUCUAAGUACAUGCCGACACAAAGAAAUAAACAUCACUAUAUUUGAGUUCGGGAUUGUUGUUGGAUGCUGAAUCAACGAUCAAAUUUAAGUACUUAACCUGCGCACGGAAAACAAAAUCGUACGCUGAGUAAAAACUCAGUGGUAUUUCUAUAAUCCGAAUUUUAAAAAAAAUAAAACAAUAAAAUAUAUAAUAAAAUGUUAAGCACAAUUAAACAUUUAAAAUCACACAAUACUCAAUUUUCAUCACUCAAUUUUCAUCACUUGCUUUAUAUAAUACGUUUCCAUAAUUUAUUUAGGUAUCAUUUAAACAAUGACACUAUCCAUUCCACAAUCAAUUUAUGAAUAUAUAACUCGUGUAUUCCAUCUAUUUACAACAUGUUUCACAUUCUAUUUUCAGUCUACUAUCUCAUAUUCUUAGCCCAAAGUAGAUUUUAUAGAACACACCGGAUAUAUAGAACAAAUACAGAAGUGCAUUGUUAUGCACUAAUGAACAAAGAGCACUAAAGUGCUAAACAGAUAGCACAGAUGUACUAAACGGAGAGCACCAUCGUGCUAAUAAUCAGAGAGCACCAACGUGCUAAUAAUCAGAGAGCAUUGGCGUACUAAUAAUCAGAGAGCAAUGACAUGCUAAUAAUCAGAAAGCGCGCUAAAGUUUCUUAAUGGCAUGCCACUAAUAUCCUAGUAGUUCUAAAUUCCGUCUACUUGGGCAUUAAAACUGAAUUUUAUACAUAUAAAAAAUAAUUCAAUUAUCAUAUUUGCACAAUUUCACAUUUACACAUAUAUAUUUAUAAUAUAUAUUCCAAUUCAAUUCAACCAAUAUAAUUUCAUCAUAUAUCAAGACAAUCCAUUUCAAUUGUAAAACACAAUAAUUCUCACCUCAAUCACUUACUAUAACAUUUAAUCAAAAUGCAACAAUUAAUAAUUAGAUUCGGAUUAUAGAAAUACACAAAUCAGGAAUUCUGAGCUAUUCCUCAUCAACUAUAUUUUUCCCCUUUUUAGUCAAGAAUUUCGGUACAACGCUAGCUGCGGAAUUUAAACAAUUAAAAAUCAUCAAUACAACAUCAUUUAAUCUCACAUUAAAUGUAAUGGCCCAAAUUCAAAGUUAUCGGAAUAGUGGUUUCGUAACCACAAAUCCGAUUUAAAGAUAAAUUUAUUUUAAUAUUUUUGCAUGAAUAUUGGUAUGAUAGGAGAAUCGUAUAAAAAUAUCGAUAGAAAAAAUUUACCGAUUUAGUGGUUAGUUAGAAAAAGAAAUUAUAGAAGAAAUUGCAUAAAAAUAAGGUAUCGAGACUUCGAUCUCAUAAAACCGAGUCAAAAAUAUUUUUAUAAAUAUUUAUGAAGUGUUAAUAAUAUGAUAUUAAAAUUUCGUUAGAAAAUUUUAAUAUUUGGGUAGUCAAUUAAGUGAAAAGGACUAAAUUGAAAAAGGUGUAAAAGUUACUAGAAGGAUUAAAUAGCUCAAUUGUUAAAUGAAUAGGGACAUAAAUUGAAGAUAACACCAAAAGGAGAUAUUUUGGGCGGCAUACGCUGAGAAAAAUCAGGAGAAUUGAAGAAUUAAGGGUAAAAUUAGAAUAUUGCAAAAUUUGUUUUAAAAGUUAGGACUAAAGUGGCAUUAUCUAGAUUCCUCUUUAUUUUUCUGCAUUCCCAUCAGCCAAAAACGUCCUAAGGGUUUCUUCAAGCUGGUUUUUCAUAAUUUUUGCCCCAAGUGAGUUAAUUCUUGCCUUUUUCUUGUAAUUUUUGUGUUUCUAAGACUUUUACAACUAGGUCCUANNNNNNNNNNNNNNNNNNNNNNNNNNNNNNNNNNNNNNNNNNNNNNNNNNNNNNNNNNNNNNNNNNNNNNNNNNNNNNNNNNNNNNNNNNNNNNNNNNNNAAUAUGUGCUGGAAUUUUAUGAUGAAAUAGGAUGAAAUUGAAGCUUUAAUUUGUUUGUGAGAUGAUUUUAUUAGGUAAUUUCAAUAGAAAUUGAUUUGUAGGACCUAAUUGUGAAAAUGUUUGGAAUCAAAGUCUAGUGCUGAAAUUCUGAUUUACAAAGGUUAUAAAGUAGUCUAAAGUGAUGGGAUAAAGUGUUAAUUGAGAAAAAUCAGCUCAAUUGAGAGGUUAAUUGAGCAAGGAUGAAAUUAUCAUUUAUUGAAAGUUUAGGGAAAAAUGGUAAUUAACAUCAUACACUAAAACAGUUUUGGACAGCAGCAGUACUCUAACUUUGAAAAUUCACCAAAAAUUGUAGAGAUCGAAUUAGAGGAUGAAUAAAAUAUGAAAUUAAAUCUUAUUGAGCCUAGUUUCUCAUAGAAGAAAUGGUUUAAUCAAUGGAAUUAUAAAUCAUGAGAUAUAAUAGAUUUUGUGAGACAAAGUCAGAAUGAAUUCGGGUUCUCCUGUUCUGACUUUGGAAAAUCAUUAAAAAUUUUAAAAAAAUGAUUAUGAGUUAUAAUUUUUAUAGUUAGAAUCCUUAAUGAGUCUAUUUUUAGAAGAAACAAACGGAAACAUCAUCCGAAUUCUGUACAGUGAGAUAAUUAAUUUUUAGUGAAGAGGGAUCAGAACUGUCAAACAAUGAAAAAGGGGAAAUUUUAAAGAAUAAACUGUACUUAUUGGCUACACCAAAAAUUCUGAAACUUUUAUGGUAAGAAGAUAUGUGAGUUUAGUUUCAGGGAAAAUUAACGGAUCUUACUUUGGAGUUCUGUAGCUUAAGAUAUAAAUAAUUUAGUGACUGUGACUCAGUGAGACAGCUUUGAAUGCACUAUAAAUAAUAAUGGAAUUUUAGAGAAUGUUACAUAUGAACAUGAAAUGUAUUAGAUUAAUGAUCAAAUUUAUUUAUUUAGAUCCGAAAAAUUCAAAUACGAAGCAAUAUCGAGGGAAAGAAAAAGUUUGGGAUUAGUAGAUUUUUGGUUACGAACAAGUGUCAAGGUAAGUUCGUGUAACUUGAAUUAUAUUCUUAAAUGCUUGAAAUGUUUGUUAUUGAUGUGAAAAUGAGUUGGAUGUUUAUUGUAUGAUAGUUGAUGAAGUAUUGAUAUUCUUGAUGAAAAGAGGAAAUAAAUCCCGGUUGAAUGAAAGGAAAAAUUCGAUGGAUCUCUGAAAAAGGAAUUGACGGUAAAAAUGAUCUAGCCUGGAUGUGUGAUCCUAUCCUGAUAUAGCCCUCCCGAAGAAUAUGUGGAAAAUGGAUUUAGCCCGGACGGUUAAUCCGAAUAGGGUCUGAAUUUAGCCUGGACUGGUAAUUCAGAUCCAAGCUCAUUAGAGUAAUUGUCGUUGCAGGGGAUUUAGCCUGGAUUGGUAAUCCCGACAAUACUCUAUGAGUUUAUAUUACAGGGGAUUUAGCCUGGACUGGUAAUCCCGCUGUAAGGAUGAGGUUCGCGGAAGUGUGCUCUCUGAAAUGGAAAUGUGCGCACAUGAAUAUGAAUUGACAGACCCGGAUUUGUACACUUAGGUGUACCUCUGAAAAUCCAUCGAAAUUUUGAGAAAUUCAACGGGAUAAAUAUGGAAAAAAAAAUAACAAGGAAAUAGAAAUCAUAGAAUUGAUGAGCUCAUCAAUCAUGAUAUAUAUAUUAUUGAUACAUGGAAAUUAUUGAACUAACUUGAAUGUUGAGUUUGUGCAUGAUAGAGGAAUAAUGUGUUGAAUGGAUGUAUGAAUGUUUAUUGCAUUGUAUUAAAAAUAUUAGGUAAGUAUAAUUCUUGUUACAUGAGCUUACUAAGCACAAAGUGCUUACCCUGUUUCCUUUUCCCCUGUUUUGUAGUGUUAAGAGCUCGGAGGUCGGAUUUGGUCGGAGAAGCAUCACACUAUCAACGUCAAGAUCUCGGUACAUAAAGAAACUUAUUUUGGAAAUCAAUGGCAUGUAUAAGCUAGUAAAGUAGAUGUUAUUGUGGAAUGAAUGUAUGGUUAGCCAUUAGUAUGGCUAACAAAUUUUGGUUUUGGCAUGUGAUGAGAUUAUCUUAUGAAUACAAUAAAUCUAUCUUGAAAAUAUGUUGAAAUGGAUUGGUUGUGUUGGCUUGGUCUCGGUUUAAAAUUUGCAGGGAGGAUUAGAUAUUUAUAAAGGGGUUAUAUUGAGUUUUAAAAAAAAUCAGUAAAAUCUGGUAAUACCUCGUAUCCUAUUCCGGCGACGGAUACGGGUAAGGGGUGUUACAUUAAAUAUUUCAAUUUUUACUCAAUAUUUGCUUAAAUUCUAAUUUAGUCCCUGAAUUGAGACUAACUUUUAUUCUCAAAACUAAUUUCAUAUUUUCAUUUCAUUCCCACUUUAAACUAAUUUAAUUCUCUAAUUUCACCAUAAAUCCCUAAUUUUGAAAUUCUCUCAAUUUAGUCCCUAGUAUUCAAAACUUAUGAUUUAUUUUACAAAUCAACCCUUUACUAACUUGUAACUUGAAAUUCAAUCAAUUUAACCCCUAAUUCAUCAAUUAAUUCAACAUGAACAACAUCAAAAAAUUUACUAACUUUCAAAAUUUCAACUUAAAUAAAGUAGUAUUUUAUUCUAGGAUUCCAAAAACUCAAAAAUUACAAGAAUAGGAACUAAAUUGACUUACCAAUCAAACCUUGAACCUUGAAAUCCCAAGUUUUCUUUCUUUCCUUCCCCUUUUCUUUUUCUUUCCUUUCUCCCCUGUUUUCGUUUUGCUUCUCUGUUUCUUUCAUUCUUUUCUAUUUGUUUUAUUAUAAUAAUAAUAAUAAUAAUAAUAAUAAUAAUAAUAUAAUAUUUUAAUCUAAAAUAUCUUAUACUUAAAUAAUAAGUAAAUUAUACAUAUUAUUACAAUUGUAUGUAUAUAUUUUUAUUACACAUGUAUUUUAUUAUUACCACACAAGUGUCACAUUUUUAGUUUAUUUAUUAAUUUAGUCCCUUGAUUUUUUUCUAUUUCAUAAUUAAACUUUCACAAUCAAUUUAAUUAAGUUCUUUUAUCUAAUUAACCUUAAUUAAGUCAAACUCACCUAAUCAAAACUUAAUUAACUACACAACUAGCUUCGUAAAUAUUUACGAAUCCGAUUCACCGGGACGGAGUCCCGGGAAUGCAUUUUUUAAAAAAAAAAUCACAUUUGAGUUGUAAAUAUUAAAUAAUAAUAUUUACGAACUUACUCGUCGUAUUUAGUGACCUUGAACCACUAUUUCCGACAUCACUGGAAAUCGGGUAUUACAAUGUAUACCAAUGCUUUUCAACUAACAAAGUGACUACUAUUGGGAUGGCAACUUUACGGGAAACAAAACUGCUAUUAAAUUACAUGUUGAACAACAAAUUUGGAGGUACUGCCUUGUUCAAAUAUUUAAUUUCUUGGAAUGGAAAACAAGAAUUAACUGUGAAUGUGAAAUGAGCACAAUCUCCUACUUAUUUCUAUAUUUCAAGGAUGCCAUAAUAUAUAUGAUUUAAGAAAGUUAAUAUUUGAAAAUAUAUGAAAGUACUGUUGUUUGUGUGUAAUUCAGCUUUUAACAACUUUAGCUUUGGUUUUUAAUUUCCUUUUAAUCAAACUUAGUAUAUGAUUGUGGUUUGAAUUUUAAGGUAUAAUAUUUUUUACUUUAAAAAUGAAUAGUGUAGAUAUUACAUUAAAUUAGCCUAGCAAUUAGAAACAAAAAAAGAGAGUAAAUUAACAACCUUUGAAUUAAGUAUAAAUCAUUAAUAAAUAUGUAUUUAGAUUUCACAAUAAUAUAUAUAAACAAAUAUAUCGUGUUAGAAUCCAAAGCACAUCGGAAAUGAGUGAGGGAAGUUCUGUGAAAAAAUAGUCCUAAUUAUUUUAAUUAAUUAAAAUUAAAUCCCUUAAUCACAUGAUUAUUGUCCUUACUAUUCAAUUCUUACAUUUGAUUACAAUUUAAUAAAAUAUAUUUUUAUUUAAAUUUAGUUAUAAAAAUAUUACAAACAUAAAUUUUUAAUAUCUUAAAAUUAUAGUAAUAUAAAAUACACACUGAUCUACCCUCAAUCAUAUGAUAUAUUAUAUAUAUGUUGAGAAAUACAUAAGAAGCUUAGCAUCGCCAAAUUCAAACCUAAAUCAAAGAAGAAAGCAAUGUCGGAAAUGGGGAGAGAUCUGAGUCGCCGGCGGCAAUCAUCUUAUUUUUCCGGCUGUUAUACGAUGUCUCCCUCAUGCUUACCGGGGAAGGAAGAAAUGGAGUACUCACGCAUCCAUGAGUGCGGCAGCAGUGGCAGUGAGAAGAGAAGGCAGAGAUGGAGAAAUCUGCUGAGGAGAUUGGUAAAAGAUGGGAAAAGUAGCAUUUAUGGAUCCUCAAAGCCACUGUCUUUUCACUAUGAUGCUGUUAGCUAUUCCCAGAAUUUCGAUGAAGGUUUUCAUCAUCAACAAUCAAUAUUUCAAGACGUUAGAUCAUGAUAAAUUUGUGCUUAUUUAUGUUUCUUUUUUCUGGUUUUGCUAUCAAUUUUGAUGUAAUUGUAAUGUUAUAUCAAGAUAUGUUGUUUUAGUUUCUUUUUUCACUGUGAAAAAUAGAACUAAUAUGAAGUGGAUCUGGAAAAACAACUCUUUUGAACUCCAUGAUAAAGACCAAUGAACUGGGAUGGAUAACUCCUUAACAAAAAUGAUUGAUGAGUGGCAGCACCAAUUUUGUAUCCCCCAAAAACAGCUUUAUCAGUUAAUAAUGGUGACGGAAUAAUUGAAGGGAAACCAGGGCGAAACUAGAAUUUUUUUAAAUUCGAAUUUGAAUUAUAAAUUUUUAUAAUUUUGUUAUUGUAUUAAUGUAUAUUUUUUUAUUUUUAAGGGAUUUAAUUAUAAAUUUUGUGUUUUUGGAGAGGAUAUGACCUAAUUUUAAAUUUUAGGAGAGAUUUAAAUUAACUUGAAAAUACUCAAAAGAAUUAAAGAAACAAUUUGUUUUUUUGGAGCCAGUCCCUCUAGCUUCGUCCCUCGUCGAAGGAACCCACACCGUGCAAGUUCACCAUCAUUGUUGAAUGCAUGAAAUUGAAACCUUAAAACCAUUUAUGAUUCAUGAAAAAAAUUUAUGCUCACAUGGAGAAAGAAAGUGGAUCAAUAUAUUCUUUGCUAUUUGAAUUUGGCUUCAAUAUUUAAUUUAGUAUUAAUCUUUUAGUUUUUUUAAAAUAAUAUGAAAAAAAAUAUUUAUUAGAAUAAUAUAGAAAAUAUUUAAAUUACACUGUGCAUAGGAACUCUAAAUUGGCAUAUAUAGCGGUUAACAAUAUGGGGUGACUAUGAGGCAAUGAUUGUGUUAAAAAUAUUUGGAAUUUUUUAUAUUUUAAAAAUAGUUUUUAUUUUUUGGAUUUUAAACUGUUUAAUUUUCUUAUAAAUUUUUAUUUUUAAAAAAAUAAGAUUUUUAUUUAAAAAUAUAAUCUUUAUGUUUUAUGUUUUUAUUUAAAAUAUGAAAAAAAUAUUUUUUAAAUUUAUUAAAAUAUUUUAUGUACUUUUAAAGGGUGAAGAUCAAAUUAACAAAAAUUAUUUUACUUUGGACAUCAUUAACUUUAGCGAUAAAAAAAGAUGAAGGGAUCAAAAUUUUUAAAUAAAAAGAAUAUAAAGAGAUUAAAAGUAUAAUAACUAAAUUUUAAAUUUUAAAAAUGUAUAUUUAAACUUAUAAAUUACACACAACAAAUGAUGCAUCAAAUACAAAUCCGAAUAAUGAAACAACAUAUUAAGUGGAUUAAAAUGACAUACAAAUAUUUAAAAAAAAAAUGCAAAGACUUAAUUUAAACUUGCAGCCAUACCAUAUGAAAUUUAAAUUGUAAAUUAUUAUUUGUACUAUUUAGGAGUUCAAGCUCAUUUAAAUUUUUUUUUUGUCUAAAAUAGAUAUUACUAGGAAUAUGAGCUCGCCUUGCGAGAUUUGAUUUUUAAUAAUUUUAUAUAUAUAAGGCAUUUUGUGAUAAGGAUAAAUAUUUUACAAUUUAAAACUUUUAAUGAGUUAUAUGAUUUACAUAGAUAGAAGGUAUUCAUUUGCAAAACAAUUAAUUAAAUUAUAACAAUAUUUAUAUUAAUUUAUUAAUAUUUUAUAAUAUUUAAAAUUAACUUAAAAUGAGAUAAAAAAAGUUUUCAUUUGUCUUGUAAUCACCUCAAAUCAUCAACCACCAUACCGAUAAAUAAAUUUUAUUCUAUAUGGUUUUGAAAAAAAACUCAAAUCUCUUGUCCUACUUACUAUAAUCAAUUUAGUACUUAAAAUUUAUUUUUGUCCCCUAAUACCUAAUUUCAAGUUAGUUAGACCCCUCCACUAAUGCUUAACAUGAUAUCGUGUUUCAUGUAUAAAUUUCUAGCAAAUUAGAAAUUUGAUGAUGAGUCUUGUUGCUCCAUAUUUAAAGCUUCAAUGUUCAUCUUGUCCUAAAUGAUAUUGCAUUUCAAUGUUUUGCAAUUUGUAGAAGAGAGAUAGAAAGUACAAUGUAGUGGCAACAUCUCAAGACAAGUGCCAUUCAUGUUACUUGACUACUUGUGAGUGAAGAAGCAAAGAGAGCCUGCAUCUCAUUGACAAUGAUACUUUCGUGUAAACAGCAUAUUGUAAUUAAUAUUUUGCGUCCUGGUUCUCCAAUAAAUUAUAGUGGUUCUAUUAUAAAUAAUGCCACAAUCAAUUUCAGAUUCGUCAUUCUACUGACGAUCUUUUAUGUAGAUAUCUUCACAGACAUGGGUUUUGCUGGGGAUGAACUGAAGUAACAUGUCUCUUAACUCAUCACUGCAUUCUUUCUUGUUAUCCUGCAGUUUCAUGGAAUGGAAUAUACUUGGAUAUUAAAAGCAAGAUAGCAAAGGUAUCAAAUUGAUAUAGAAACCCUUUUUUACCUUCAAUCCUUAUAUCUCUCAGGUUGGCUUAGUUGAAGAUGAAUAGGGACAUUUGAACCCUCUCCACUGUCAAAUACAUAUGAACUCACAGCAUUUCCAUUUUCAUACCUUGUUCCAUAAACCUGAUUCGAUUAACUCAACUGGAGUUAUGCUAAUUUCAUAUUAUGGAGUUGUUUGUAUCCAUCAAUAAAAUGAACUACCUUCUUGUGUAAUUCCAUGUUUUCUUUGCGGAUAAGGUUUACCUUCUUGAAGAGUUCCACAUUCUCCUGGUGAAUAAGGUUCCCCUGAAAGAAGGCGAAAAAGCAUUCUAUUGAGUGUUUCUAUUUGGAACAACAAAUGUAAAUAAAACUCAGCUAGUGUGUUCUUUUUGAAUGACCCUUCGGUUUAAUUCUUCUAUUUCAUUGGUUAAUAUCCGUUCCUGCAAAAAAGUUAAAAAUUAAGCACGUCAAGUUUACUACCAUACAAUUAUUAUUAUUAUGCCUAAAAAUUGCAUAAAUAGUGGUGUUAAGACCUUUUUCAUGCGAACACCUUUCAAGCUCAUCUCCAGUUGGUUCUCUAGAUUCUGCAGGUCUUCAACUCUCAAACCAUAAAGCUGUUCACCCAUGAGUUGCCUGACGUAUCAGAUUUUAGGCGUUGGUCAAUCACCAUGUCUUCUCAUAUAUGAUUUCACAUCCUACAUACAUGUAUUCCUAUACAUGCGUCUUUAUUUGUGCAUGUAUAAGUUUGGUCUACAAUUCCGGUUGCCUACUGAUGCAGCUUUUUUUUCUAAAUAUUAGGGAAUUUUAAGGUCAGAGAGAAGGACAUACCGAUGGUUGUCCUGCAAAUUCUGCAGUUGUUGUUUCAAGAUUGCAGCCUCUCUUUGCCAAAACUGUCAGAAAAUCUUAAGUUCAUUUAGAACAUAAAAGCAUCUUUUUUUCUUAAUUCUUACAGGGAAUUAAGCAAAUUGCUUUCACCAUAACAUAACGUUUAUUUAGCUUUUAUAGACUCUUCACAUCAUUUAAUCCAAAUUUUUGUUAUUCAAGCAAUAUUUGUCAAACAGACUCCUAUGAAUUAUUUAUGAUAUAUUUGGGUACGAGAGAAAAGGAUAAUCCUCCAAGUCAUUAGAACAAUUGCUGCAGUAUUUGGCAUUGUCAAGGUUAGACUGCCAUUAGAACAAGAUUCCAUGUAUAUUUUCUUUCAGAAUCUUCAAGCAUAUAGAUGUUGUGUUAUAUUAUGUGUGUGUAUGGGAAAAAGGUGGUAGAGAAGGGUACCUUGACUUCUGAUGAUGGAUUCGACAACUGUUGGUGUUCCUCUUUCAAGGUGUUGUAUCUUUCAAUAACUGAUUUCAUGCUGACAUAUAUAUAUAUACAAAGGUAUACUCAGUCUUAGUGUAAAUACUAUUUUUUAGUUGUCUUUUUAACAUUUAUUCACAUAGAUAUCAUUUGUUGUAAGUGUCAACUUAUAGCAUAUUUUGAAAUGAUUUAGAGAAAUCAUGGUGGCAAUACGAAAUAAAAAUAAAUUUAUGAACAAAUUGAAACAGUCAGUUUUAGAUUUCAUGAAUUCAUUUUUAAUAUAUUUAUUAUUAUCAUUUAUAUUUGUAAGAACCACUCGUAAAUGUAUUAAGUGUUGGCAUAAAUAACUUCAUUUGUUGUAAACCACGUGCAUAUGGGAAAUGCAAAAUUCACAGGUUAUUGCACAUGAAUUCUUGACCUACCUAGUGGCAUAAGAUUCUUCUAACGUCAUGACAAGAGAUACUCAAAAAAUACAACUUGGGGAAAUAUAAAACAAUGUUUAUGUGCAUGAUUUAUUGGUUGCAAAUGCUUGAUUCUUUUCGAUAUGAACCUUCCCUUUUUCAGAACAUUUGAGGUUAUCUGAAUGAAUGGCUGAUAUCUCAUAGAUUACUUCAUAUGGAAAUCUACGUUAACAAAUGCUAAAGUGAAAUACAACAUUAAUUAUAUAUAGAUAUAAGUUGGGUUUUCUUUUUUAUGAUUUGAAUAUUAAAAAGGGAACACUAGUCCUAGAAAGUUGAAUCAAACCAUAUAAUUAUUUGUAUUUUUUAAGAAAUUGUUUUAAAGUUGGCUACAACCGUGUUUUAAAGGCCAAUUGUUUUGCUCAGUUGCCUCCAUGAGAGUUUUUCUUUUUCUGUAAAUUUGGCUUGAUGCAAUGAACUGAAGAUGUCAUUAACAAAAUCUUUUUAGGUUCAAAAUGUCUAGCUACAUCUAUGAACACCAAAUUCUUGAGUGAGGGAACUGUACUCGUAUAUGCGAUCUAUAUAUUUCAGCUAAAGCUAGCUGUAUAAUUUUGACUUCAAUGCCUGGGAAUUGAUUUAGACAAAAAUAAUCAUGGAAAGAAUUUUACUGUUACGAUUUCGUAUGAGAAAAAGCAAAGAUUCAUUAGUCAAAAAGUAGAUGGUUUUAACAAGUUCGAUUAUAAGAAUGAUUAGGAACGAAGGCCAUAAAAAGAACUGGAGAAUGGGAAUUUCUAUUGGAAGAGAAAAACAAAGUUGUUGAAAAUAUAUAUGGAUAUAUUAUAAUAAAAAAAAACAUACAUAUUUAUAUUAAAGAAGGCUAAAUUGAUUCCUCUUGUUAAAGGAAAAGGAAAAUGUUUUAGUUAGUGCUUGAAGAAAGAAGAUGCAAUUAGCUUGUUUUUCCAAUAAGAAGGAAGGAGGAAUGCAACACUUAUUCAUCUUUGAAGGUGAGUGCUAGAUUUUAUAAUUUUUUCAUAUAUCCAUAAGCCAACAUAAGUAUAUAUCAAAUAUGGAUACUUGGAAAAAGAAUCCAAGUAAUUUAGAUUGAUGUUUAUCUAGCUAGUUCAGAUUCUUCUAUCUCAUGUGAGAGUUAUAUAUAUAUAGUUUAUUUGACAAUAAUGAUCCAUUUUGACUUUUUUAUGCUCAUUGACUGACCCCCUCCGCCUUUGAAGCACGCCAGCAAUAAUCCUUCCCAAUAGUGCAGUCUUAGAGAAAAGCACUUACUCAUCUUUUCUUUUCCCCCUUGAUUAAUGAUCAUAAAAAGGCACUAUUGGCUACCCUUAAUUUGAAGUUGUAUUUUAUUUGUUUCUUCUCCAUUAUUAUUGCAGAACAUAAUCUAAAUCAAAUCAUUCAUCUGAUACUCCGUGAUAUCCUUCAUAUCUCUCACCAGCUGAUCCAUCUUGUAAUUAACCCCUUUCUUUACUUUUAUCAUCACAAGUUCACCAUUUCAAUCUCAACCUCUUGGUGUUCAUCCCUAGACAUGAAGGGAUUAUUGUGUUUAUCUUUUACUACAUUGAGAUGAAUAUAUCCCUAAGCUUGAAAUGAAGAACAUUUUUUUGGUUUUUCAUAGGUUAAACAAGCAGGAAAUUAGGCCAAAGAUAGAAAUAAACUAAAAAAAAAAAAAAAGUAUUAAAGAAAAAGGACAUUGGACUAAUGGUAGCAUGUAUAACUCAGGUUUGGUUUAAUGGUUAUCUCUAUUUGUAAAAACUAAAAAGUCAAGGAAAACAUAUUAUAUAUACAUACAUACACACACACACACACAGACAUAUAUAUAUAUAUAUAAAGGAAGGAUAUGAGUUGAGUUAAAAGUUGAAACCUGGUGCUUGCAAAUUCAUAGAGCUUCCCACUGCUGGAGAAGAUGACAAGGCCAACUUCAGCAUCACAUAGGAUAGCCAGCUCUUUGGCCUUCUUGAUCAAACCCUUUCUUCUCUUUGAAAAGGUCACUUGCCUACUUGCUGAAUUAUCGAUCCUUCGAAUCGCAAUCUUCCCUCUCCCCAUCCUUUGUUUCUUCUAGGGUUUCUACAGUCAGAUCAUGACAGAGAAAGAUUAAAUAGAAAGAGACCCUAAACACAAAUCUUAGUCAAUAAAAAAAACAAACAAGGCAAAGAUUGAUUCUCAAGUUGGAACUAUUAGCUUACAGGGUUAAGCCAAGCCAAUGGACAGCGUUUGGAAAUUAAUGGUGAAUGAGAGAGGGAGAGGGGCUUACCAAGUGAAAAGUGGGUUUGCUUUUUGUGGGUUAAUAGAGCUGGUUUGGAGUACUUGGAACUUUGCUAACACUGCAAAUACUUUAGGGCAAAUACUUUACAAGGUAUAGAGAUUUCCUGUAAUUUUAUGGCGCCAUUGCUCGAAUAAGUUACGGACGGGUGGGAAUGAAUAUGAAUAAAUAGUAGCUAGUCUAUCCCUUCUUUUUUUAAUGACCUUUUGUGGAAAACAGUCGCAUGUUAAUUACUGCACAUUUAAUAUUGAUAAUAAUAAAAAUAAUACUAUUUUAGAUUUAAAUUUGUAUGUAAUUUUUAAAAAAUUUAUACAAAAACAAAAAUAAUCUUAAAACAAUAUUUAUUGUUUUGUAAAAAUAAAUAUUAAAUAAUUUGACAACUGAAUUGAGAUCUAAUUAAUCAAUCAAAUACUUAAAUAAUGCCUUAAUUUUCUUGUAUCACAUGAUUAUUUUGAAUAAAGAAUUCAACCCAUUUGUAAAGUGUAAAUAAAUAACUAAAUUGCAAAUGAAAAACACAUGACAUUAAAUAAAUUUACAGGAUUCGUCAAAUAUAUAUGGAAAAUUUUAAUUCAAAAGCUAAAAGGAGUGGCAGUUGUUUAAGUCAAUUUGGAUUUGAGAAUAAAUGCAAAAUAUAUUUUAAGUUUAGGCUACAAAUAGGGAAUUUGAAUAAGAUAGGAUCCGUGAAGUGGGUGGUGUUGUUUGAACAUUAAGUAUAAAAAUGGUGUUAAUUUCCAGACAUAGCUUUGGAGUUGGACAGCUUCCAAUUAUGGAUAAUGUAAGAAACAAAUUUCUUCAAUCCAAAUGUAGAAGCCCUUGUAUGUUAUUGGUUCUAUCAAUCUCUUUUUUCUUUUUUCUUAAUUACAAGAGGAGGGCAAAGUCUUAAUAGCAACACGACUCGAAUCCAGACCACACCUGAAGCGAUGAACACCCUGAUUAUCAUGCCAACACACCAUUUUUAGGUAUACAAAAGUUUACUCAUGCGUUUUUUUUUUCUUUGGGGAGGGGAGAUUUUAGAGUUGUCACUGUCGAAGAAUAAUUUGUUUUAAUUUUAUAUGAAAAUUAGAAUUGUUUAAUAAAUUCUACAAAUUUUACAAAUUGAAUAACUUGAAUAAUUUGGAUAAGUGAUUCGAGAUUCGAGUUUAAGUCGAGUUAAAUUUUACAAAUUGAAUAACUUGAAUAAUUUGAAUAACAGAUUGGUGUAAAUAUCCUUUUGGUCCCCGUCAAUUUUGAAAAUGGACAAAUUGGUCACUCUCUCAAACAAAAAUUUCAAAAUAAUUUUCAAAAAUUCAAAAUAUUUAUAUGGACCUAAAUAAAUUAAUUAACGGUUCAAGUUUAUCAUACUAAAGUAUCAAAUUUUAUUUUAUAUUUUGAACAUUUUUUUAAAUACAUAUGGUUUCAAAUUUAUGCACUCUAAUAUGACAUAUUAACUAUACUGUAAUAAAAUUUUAAUUUGACAUAUUUAAUUUUUUAAUUUAAUUCGAACAAUUUCACUUGGUUCGAAUUUCAUUUCACUCGACUCAAUUUAAAAAAUUUCAAAUCAAAUUAAGAUAAUAAAAUAGGACUCGUUAACUCGAUUAACCCGGAAACUUUUCACUUGAUUCGAUCGAACGCUAGCCUUUAUCUAAUAUGAAACGAAUGUUAACUAGUGAAAAUUUGAUAGCAAGAAUUUAAGCAGCCAGCAGUUGAAGUUAGAAAUAUCUUGUCAGGUAAUAAAUUGAGUCGUCUUUGCCUCUCUUAGUUUCUGUAGUCUUUUAACACUUAGCUCUCUCUCUUUUGUUAUAUAUAAAAAAAAAAUUAAAGUUGAAAUGUCAAAGCCAAUGUUGGCACUCCUAAGUCCUAAGUCCUAAGGAAAUAAUGAUUAAUUUCUUAUUCGCACUCCCAAGUCCUAACACCAAUGUUCAAAAUUUGAUGUCUGUAUAUAAAAAAAAAUCUGUAAUUUUAUUUCUCAUUUGAUAGAACAAUUAAUAUUGAGUCAAUCAUAGAUGAUGAGUCCAACAUUUUAGUGGAAGCAAAAGAAGGUUACUUUAAAAAUAUUAGGAGAUUUAAAGUGAAAAUGGACCGAUUUCGUGGAACCAAAACAAGGCUACUUUUGAGUUAAAUCAUUUUAUUCCAACAUUUUUGUUGGAAAAUACAAGUUGAGCAGCGACAUACAUGUGAAACACCUUAAAAUUAUCAUCCACCAAUCUAGUGCUGUCUCCACACGCUUUUUCAUCCACGUUAGCCAAUGGGAAACAAUCUCCACGCGCGUGAUUUAUGUAAAAGCCUGUGGCUGUGUGAAUUAAAUACAGAUUUAUGAAAAUGAAAACGAAAACGAAAAUGAGAAGUUUAGGUGGGGGUCCCAAACAGAUAAUCACACCUGCGAUUGGCUAAUGAGCAUGUGAAUGGGAUUUGUUGGACCAAUAAGAUUCCAUAAACCUUUGCCAGAAAAGCAUAAACUGAAACUAGGGUUAGUGUUUAGGGUCAGGGUUAGGCAGUCAUAGAUAAAGGAGAUCCCAAAAUCCCAAGAUUUUAAAAUAUGUUUGAGAAACCGAGGUUAGCCAGGUGUCAAUCAUCAACAAAUGAUUGAGAAAAGAAAGUUACGAAAACGAACCGUUUUCUAUUAAUUAAUAAAGCAUCCCACUGUUCUGACUCAUCCCACCAUCAACUCAUCAUUUUCCAAGUUGCGGAAGGAUGUCUAUCUUAAUUUGCAUCACCAAAAUUUAAAAAUCAUGAUUUCAUUUGACUUGUCAUUGAAUUCUGAUAACAACGUCACCAUAAUUUACUCCCAAUCCUAAAGUCACACUUUGCACGUACCACUGCCUUCAGUCGCGCUCCUCUCACCAACGAUGGCACCCACAUGCUCAAAAUCAUUUGAAUUUGUGUGAAUCCAAUCUUCCCUGUCACUGUCAUUAGAUCUCCUUGGGGGGAUUAAAGCUAGGACGGUGACACGACCGUAGUACCCAAAAACUUGAUGUGUAAUGUAAUAGGUUAAAUAGUGAAGAUGGUGAAGUACGAAGAUUUUUUUUUUUUUUAAUUAUGUAACUUCCAAUUAUGCAUUUAACUAUAAUUUUUUUGCUAGGCAUGAGUAGCGAUUUAAUGAUCAAAAUAUAGUAAAUUGAUAAUAUUAAUAAUUAUAUUGUCAUCUUUUAAAAUUUAAUAAUCAAAAUAUAAUUUAUAUUUUACCCAUAAAAUGAAAGGAUUUGCACGUGAACUUUCAUCAUACCUCUCAAAUAUUUUCUCCACCCGAGAAAAAUUCAAGAUUUUGGCAACGUUUUUUCAAAGUGGUAGAGAUCUGCUGCCUUUUACAGAUUUCAAGUUCACAUGAUUUCGAUUUUUAGAGUGUGUAGUCUUUGUUUCGUAGAGUAUAUUAUAUUAUAUUUUAAAAAUAAAAAAUAUUAUGAUUAAUUAUCAUGAUUUUUUAAAUAAAUUUCUAAUUGUUUACAAGAAUUAGAGAUUGUAAUUGAAAUUAUCUAAUUGUACAAAAAUUAAUGAAAUUUGGUAAUUAUAUAAUAGUUACUCUAAUUACAAAUAUGCAAUUACAAACAAUUACAUUUAAAUCUAAUUAUUAGGAUUAGGGCUAAGUAAAAAAAUCGAAAAAUCGAUUCAAAUUGAUGUAUUCAGUUUGGUUCAACUCGGAUUUUGUAAUAUUCAAUACAAUUUCGGGUUGGUGCUAUCACCCAAACCGCCCAAUGCGUUUCAAGUUUGAUUUUUUCACAUGAAACUCAUUUUAUCUAAAUCGAACCGAAUGAAAAAAAAAUAUGCUUAAGAAAUAGUCCUAAUAGAAUAAUAAAUUGAUCAUUUUAAUAUCUAUAUGGACUCAUUCAUUUAACCCUAUUAUUAUUAAAUAAAAUAUUUCAUAAAAAAUUAUAAAAGUGUAGUUUUAUAUUAGAGUAAGUGAAUAAUUUAUUAAAUAUAAUAAUUAUAAUUAUAAAUAGAAACAUAAACAUAAUUUUAAUUUUAGGAAAAUAGUUUAUUAAGUUUUAUAAUAUUUUAUUUAUAAAAGAAACAACUUUUCGCAAUUAUAUAUAUAUUUGAUAGUUUUGAAUUUAAUCACUUAUUUGGCGUAUUGUAAUCACCUAGUUAUAACUGAUAUAAAAAAUGAAUCGAAAAAAAUUAUGUAUGCUGAUGAUUUAUGUAUUAGCUUUCCUUUUAACAACUUUAAAUGGUUUAUUGCAAUGUUAGAUUAUUUUGGACCCAAAACAAGGUGAUAUUUUUUUUUGAUAAAAUCCAAAUUUAAUAAAAAGCGUUGAACCGAACCGAAUUAAGAUUAUCGAUUUUACAUAUUUUUAUUUUUAUUCUACACAUAUAAUAAUAUCUUAUAAAUUUGGGGUUGGGCUUAAAGCACAUAUCCACAUUCAUUUCUUAUCCUUAAACUGUUGCCUGUUCGAAAAAAAAUGUACAAAGUUAUUGAAGGAGAAAUGAAGUGCGCGCAUCGGUAUUCGAUUCGGUUGAUUUCAAAUUUUGGAUAAAAAUUAAAUUGGAUCAUUUCGUUCGGUUUUUCAUUUUUGAAAUUGAAACUAAAAUAGAUAAAUUAGUCAAAGAGUUGAUUGGUCAUUCUAUUAAAAAUUUCAUCAAUUUCUACUGUUAAUAAUUGGUCUCUGUAUGUCAACAUGAAGUACUUGUGGCAUGCCAUAUUUCACUAUUUGAUUAUUCUGUUAGUUAUGCUAGUUUUAACAGUAGAAAUGAAUAAAGUUUUUAACAGAAAUGACUAAUUUACUAUUUGAUAUAAUGUACAACAACUAAUUUUUCACUUUUUUAAUAGAUAGGAUAAAAAACAAUCUAACACUUAAUACAUGAGCUUCCAUAAUAUUUUUACCUCAUUUGAAAAAUAAUUACACAAGCAAUUUAGUAAAGUGCACAGUGUCAUUGAGACAUUUUCAUGGUGUUAGCAAAUGUCAAGGCUUUGAGAACUUCAGUGUUCAGGUUGGAGUUUUGCUGUACGUUAUUUAUGUGUGUAUUCUCCCCUAGAUUUUUUUCUAGUUAGUAAUUAGUUAACUAAAGUUAGAGUUAAUUAUUUAAUUUAAUAUUUAUAAUGAUUGAUUCUAAUUAAAAUUAUUGACAUAAAAUUACAACUUAAAGAAAAUUAUAAAUUAAGAUCUGAGCACUAAACUUUUUUAAUGUUAUUUUUUGAAGGUGAUCGUAUAAACAAAUUAAAAUAGAUCAAAUUCAUUUAAUUAAACCACAAGAUUACAAAUGAUUAAGUCCAAAUAUAAAGGGAGACCCAUCAUAACUCCGGUUCUGAGCAAAAGAUAGAAAGGAAAGUAUAUGACCAAGGGAUCGAUUGCAUAUUUCUCAUCAGUUAGAGGAGGAGAAACCCACGCGUGGCUGUGGAGGAGGGCGAAAGCCAUACUCCUAUGGUGUUUAACAACCUUUAAAACCAUUUUCUAAAGCUAUGGAACCUUCACACGUGUCGUGUUCGAUCAAGAUGACGGACACAUUGUUGGUUGUCUACAUGACCUCAUCAUUGGUUGGAUUUGAACAGUUGUUUAGAUCAAUCGAAAUUGAUAAUAAUAAUAUACUUUUACGAGUUUUGUAAAACUUACCACACUAAAUAAAAAUAAAUUAAAAUUUUUACUAAUAUUUAAUCACUUGGAAAGAACAAUAAAUUCUUCAAUUUGCUUUGAAAUUAGUAAACUCCAAGCAAUCUACCACCAAAAUAAUAAUAAUAAAAAUUAUGCAAGCAUUGAAGGUAUGGUGACAACUACAGUGAAGACAUUGAGAAUCACCUUACACUUUCUAUUGACAAUGGUGUAAAGAUUAAUGGUUAAUUUAUUUUUUAUUGUGUCUUAUAUAUAAAAAGAUAAAAUAAGUAUUUAACAUCUCAAUUUUAAUUGAGAGAUUUUCUAUUUAUUUAUUUAAGGUAUGUAAUGGAAAAAUCAAAAUACUAUCUAAAAUAUAAUAUAAAAACUACUAUAUCAAAAAUCAAAUAUAUAGUCAUUUUCAUAAAAACUCCAAACAAAUAAAUCCCCCAACGCCCCUCCCCCAAAAAACAAAUAGUACUAACACUAGGGCUAAUCCCUCGUUGAAGUAGACAUGUGGUGGCGAUGAAUUGAAUCCAUAUAUAUAUAUAUAUAUAUAUUCAACAAAGCAAUCGAUCCAAUUCAAGGGGAGGAUACCUCAUCCAGACAACACCGAUAGAAGCAGAUGGAGCAAACCUAGUAAUGUAAUCGGCAGCUUUGAACCCCACCUUUUAGUCCUCUCCAUUGUGCUUCAAUGAUACUUGUAUAAUUAUACUUUGGUUUAUGGUAGCUUUGGGUACAAUGUAGGUAAUGUAGGUUUUUGGGUUGCAAUAUUUGAGAUUCAAUCAAACAUAAUGCCUCCAGGCCUAAAAGAGUUUGGUUGAGCCAAUUUUUGGGCAUUGUUCUGUGGAAAAAAAAAAAGGAUACGCGCCAGGUAGGGAUCGAACCUACGGCCUUCUGCUUAGGAAACAGACGCUCUAUCCACUGAGCUACGAGCGCUUGUUUUCUAUCGGCUAACUAAAUAAUCUAUUCAUUAUCUAGUUCAUUAUACUUCCUACACUAGUUUAUGGUUUUUCUAGUCCUAUUACAGGUAACUUGUUUUCAUCAAUUCUAUUAUUCAGUUCACCAUGAAAUUGAUAUCCAUUUUAUCAUUAUUAGAAAUAAAUAAAUAAUGUUCUCUUCCCUUCAACAUAUAGCAAUAAAGUAAAAUUCUUACAAAAGUUUACAAAGAAUCGAUGGUUGAUGGUUUAUUUGUCAAUUUUAAUUAAACUCUUUAUAAUUUGAAAAUUUUAGGUCCUCAUUAAACAAUAAUAGUUGUAUUCAUUAAGCUAAUUUUUUAUAUUGAUUAUUCAAACUCAAGUUAUUUUUUAAAAAAAUAACACCCGAUCAAUAAAUCACGAGCUUAUUAAGUUAAAUAUUUUUCAAUUCUAAAAUUAUAUUUGUCAAUAUAUUAACAAAUGUGUAAUGUUAUAUUAACUUUCUAUUCACACAUAAUAUUAAAAAUUUAAAAUAAAUCAGUUAAUAAAUUUAAUGGGUGCUAUUUUCUUCAAGAUUAAAAUUUAAAAAUUCAAAAAAAUACAUGAACUAAGCAUUAUCAAAUUAAAAAGUAUGAACUAAAUCUAUAAAAUUAUGCAUAAUACAAUACUAAUAACAGAAUUUAAUGAAACAGAUUUAAUGGAAAACAUUUGGAUCAAAAUUGAAAAUUUAAAAGUUACAAAAUAUAGGGAUUAAAUUCACAACUUGUAUAUAAUACAGGGAUUAAUAACAGAAUUUUACCCAACUUUUCCCUCCAUUCUUACAAGCGUUAGUUUUGGCACAUAUGUCGAGCGCCAAAACCAACGGUCGAAGAAAAUCUUAGCAAAAAAAAAAAAAAAAAACCCAUAUGCUUCCAUUUUACAUAACAAUACUUGAAACAAAAUUAACUAUACAAUAUAAUUUAAAUAAUAUUUAUUUAUUUUUUAGUGACUUUAAUUAGAAAAAUGAAUGAAAAGGAUAUAGAUCGAGUUGAAUUUAGUGUAUAAAUAUAGAAGAAAUUCCAGAUCUUAUAAUUAAAGGUGGAUUGAUUUUUAGUUUUGCCAUAAUGUGUCAACGGAUAACCAACUUCCAAAUAUAAACUAUUUUGCAUCUAAAAUUCUUUGAAUGCAAACUAAUUUUCCCAGAGAUUGAGAUUGGAAAGAACCCCCCCCCCCCUUUCCUUUUCUCCCAAAACACGAACAUGUAAGUUCUGUUUUGGGAGAUUCUUGAUUUUCCAAGAACUUUUCAAUUUCAAAUGUUGGAGAGGAUUUUGAAUUGAAAAAACAAAUCCUUUUUUAUUCAAUUUUCCUUUUGUUUGGAAUUUGAAAAGCCUGGGACAAUAUGGCUAUGGAAGUGGAAGGUAUUUCAGGCUUCUUCUUUUUUUGUCUUAUUGUUUUUGGACAUUUUUCAUCCUUUAAUGAAUUGGGGGUUUUUUAUUUUUUUUUGGGAUUGUUUUAAUCAUAAAUGGUUGCUUUGAAAGUUUUGAUUUUGUUAAUGCAGAGACAGUUAAAGGAACAGAAGGAGAAAACCCAGAAAUUGAAUCAAAUCACCAACUACCAAGAGGUUUAUUGGAGAUUCUUUUUACUGGGAUUGGUUAAAAAUCAUAAAUGGUUUCUUCAAAUUUACAAGUUUUGGUUUUGUUCAUGCAGACAAGGGAAAUGAAACAGAAGAAAAGAACCCAGAAAUUGAAUCAAAUCAACCACCAAGAGGUGUGUUGGAGAAUCCUGAACUGGGAUCAGACUCCGACAACAGCGCCACCCCCACAAGGACCACCAGCAAGGGAGGCGGCAAUGAUAGCUCCGAUCCUCAAAAACCAGUUUUGCAAAAAUGGGCCGAUAGUUUUCAGUGGAAGAGUGUAAUCGGAUCAAUUAAGAGGAAAUCAGCCAGAAGUAUAUCUGUGAUUCCUUUGCUAACAAAACUUUCAAAACGCCAUGGCUCUUACGGAGAUGAAGAGCUUGAUUGCAUGCCAUUGCUUAAAGCUUCAUGGAAGAACUUUUCUUACUUAGAGCUUGCUAAUGCUACUGAUAAUUUCAGUCCUGGUAUGCCAUCAUAUCCCAUUUCAAAGUCUUUUUCCUUUCUAUUUCUCUGAUACAAAUAUAUUAAAAUUGGGUUGUAUUUGGUUCAACUAUAAGUAAUUUCACUUCCAACAUCUUUAGAUAGAAAUAGAAUGAUAGCUUGAAGAUGCUCAAACUUACUGACAAUUCAAAGCAACUUAGGGAUAACAUCCAUGUAAAUGAGCUAUUAGAAUUUGAUUUGGGAAAUUUUAAAACUUGAUUUGAUUUGAUUUGGGGUAACAUUCUCUAGAGGUACUGUAUCUUUGGUUAUAUUGAUAGAGUAUGGUUCUAAAUAUGCAUAGAACAUUUUUGUAGAGAAUUUGCUCGGAAGGGGAGGCCAUGCAUUAGUAUACAAAGGGCAUUUAUCUGAUGGUCAAAUUGUUGCGGUGAAGAAGAUGGUGAGUAAUGGUGAAGAUGAGGAUCUAGCUGGAAAUUUCUUGACAGAGCUUGGGAUUAUUGCUCACAUCAAUCACCCGAAUGCAGCUCACUUGAUCGGAUUCAGUGUUGAUUGCGGCUUACAUUUAGUCCUUGAGUUUUCUCCUUUUGGCAGCCUUACUUCCAUGCUUUUUUGUACUACCCCAACUUCCUUUAUAGUUUCAAUUUGUCUUGUUAGUCCGGUAAACAUACUUUCAUCUCCUACGUUUACUCGGUCUCGACUGUAACUAGAAACUGUUCUUUCCUUCAGAUUCAAAACAGUGUUUAGAUUGGAAAACAAGGUUUAAGGUUGCUGUUGGCAUAUCAGAAGGAUUGAAAUAUCUCCAUCAUGACUGCCAUCGGCGGAUUAUACACCGUGACAUCACUGCUUCGAACAUAUUGCUCACUGAAGAUUACGAAGCUCAGGUACUGUGAUUUCUUGCACUGAAAAUGUAUAUAUUUUGUUGAAUGAUACCAUGUUUCUGAUUUCCUCCAACAUUGCAGAUUUCAGAUUUCGGUCUCGCAAAAUGGCUUCCGGACAAAUGGGCUCACCAUAUUGUUCAUCCCAUUGAAGGAACAUUCGGGUUAGAAAAGCGACUCUUUCUCCUUAUUCGGUUAAUUUGUUGUUAGCAUUGAUUCAUUUUAUACGAAGUAAAACAAAAUUGCCUGCAGUUAUCUAGCUCCAGAGUAUUUUAUGCACGGGAUCGUUGAUGAAAAGACCGAUGUUUUCGCAUUCGGAGUUCUAUUACUGGAGAUAGUAACAGGUCGCCGUGCAGUUGACAAGUCCAAACAAAGUCUUGUAAUAUGGGUAACACAAAUAUGCACCAAAAUCUUUCAUUUUAUAUCCUGCAAAAAGAUAUGAACUUAUUUUCUGCAUUUUUGUUACAGGCAAGACCAUUUCUGGAAUCAAAUCAAGUAAAGGAAUUGGUCGAUCCUCGGCUCAAAGAUGAUUAUAAUCCGAGCGAACUGCAACGAACAUUGUUAACAGCUUCAAUGUGCUUAAGUCACUUACCCACCAACCGUCCAACCAUGACAAAGGUAUGAAAAACACAACAAAAUUUCCCAAGAAAACAUCCCAGUUUCCCGGAAAAUUCAUGCUAGAAACCACGAAUUCUUUGCCGAUUUUGCAGGUUGUAAAGAUGCUUAAGAACGAAGAUGGUCCAAUUGAGUUUCACCAAAUAUCUUGUGGAAGGAAAGCAGUGAUUUUUGACGGCUAUGAUUUGAAAGAUUCUAGUUGUAAAAACUAUCUACAUACCAUGCGUCCAACAUAAUUUUGUAUUUGGAAAACCGUAUCCAUAUAUUUACGUUCGAAUAUAUUCGGACACUGUAUCUAUACGGAGCGAGGCAUGGUGUUGCAGGAUUGGAACAAAUAGAGCCGCCUUGCAUGGUGUUUGUUGAUAAAUUCCACGUGAUUUGGGUUAUUUUUCUUCAGCUUUUCAACUUCCUAUUCUUUCGUUGAAUUUUAGAUAUUCUUUUGUUUAUUUACCAAAAGCCAAUAAAUAAACAUUCUUUUAAUCGACCGGAUAAUUUAAUAUUUCGACAUCUCACUGUUUAAUCCAAAGUUGGAAGAAACUGAGUCCAGUUUAAUCGGAGCUCAAUUCAUAAUAAAAACUAAGCUAAAGUUAUUUAUCUACUAAAAAUUUCGAUUUUUAUAUUUUUAAUAUUUUUAAUUUUGCAAAUAAAAUGUAUGUGUCAUUUAUAUAUUUCUUUUAUUUUUAAAUAUUAAUUAAAGGCAUUUAUCAAUUUAGUUAAAUUAUUCAAACUCCACUUAUUCACUUUGCAGAACAGCAAAAAGAACAUUUUUUUUUUGAGUUUUUCAAAAAUACAUUUUUUUUAAAACACUUUUGAAAAGCAUGGUUAAAACUAGUCUUAAUUUAGUUUAAAAAAUAGUUUAUUAAUAAUCACGAUUGAGUCCUUCUUUGAAAAAGAAAAAAGAAAAGAAAGGCAGCCCUUCUAGGCCCAAACAAAAUGAACCGUAAAAUAACAGAAUUCUAUGCAAAAGCUUGAGAAGGGGAAAUGGCGACGGACAUUAUUAUCCAGACGGCAAUUUUGUUAUUAACACUCGCUAUUGUCUUUGCAAUUCAAUACGUUCCCAAACAAACCUUAACCAAGCACCGAACCGACCAUCGAGCCACGACCCAAACCCAACGCCAUCUCAGCCGAGCCACCCAAUUGCUUUGUCGAGCCAAAUCCAACCCUCAGAAAGACCAAUCUCAAACCCUAGCGAAAACCGCCAUAACCGAAAUCGAAAAAGCCCUUUCUCUUUUCCCAAAAGACCCAACUCCUCACAUUCUCAAAUCCCUAGCUCUCGACUUAUUGGGCCACAAGGGAUCCGCUCUCAGAUCGCUCGAUUUGGCGUUGGCUUUCCCCCGCGUGAAAUCGCUCUCGGAGAAGGAACGCGUGGAGGCGCUGGUGAGGAGGGCAGAAUUGAAGUUGGCGGUUAAUAAGAGAAGGCGAGUUGACUCGGCCGUUUCGGAUUUGGAGGAGGCAGUUAAGGUGAGUGAUAAAGAGGGUGAGACUAAAACGAAGGCGUUUUGUUUAUUGGGGGUUUGUUAUGAGUUAAAAGGGAUGAGGGAAGAAUCUAGGAAGGCUUUCGUAGAGGCGCUUAAGCUGGAGCCUGCCUCUACCCUCGCUCGUCAGGGUUUGGAACGGGUGAGUUUGUCAUGAGUCAUUGAUUCCACGACUCGUCAUUCUUUCCGUUCUUCUAUUUCUUUUAAUUAUUUUCCCCUAAAAUAUUGUAAAAGUAUUUUGUAUUGUAUAUUUAACUUCGGCAUAAUGCUUUCAUAAUAGUUUGUUUAACUUUGCCGCUUCAUCCAGGAUUUCAGUAUUUAAUUAAUUUUUAAAAUUUAAAAAUAUUAAAAAUAUAUUCUUUUUAUAUUUUAUAUUAAUUUUUAAAAAUAUUUUUAUAUUAAUUAAAAAAUGAUAUUUUAAAAAAAAAUUGGAGAGCCUUCAAUUCUUUUUCAACUAGUUUUGUCUUUUUAUAUAUUUUGAACUCUCAACUAUAGUUGUAUCAAUAUUGUUUGUUUUUUUAUCGUCACAAUAUUUGCUUAUAAAGCAAAGUGCCACACCAACAGAUGACAUUCAGCUACGGCAUAGUACUAAUUGUAUAAAAUGCUUAUGUUAAUCGAUAUGGCUCAUUUAAAUAACAUAAAAUAAGUCUUUAAUCAACAACUAGUGGGAUAGAUACUGAUGUUGGGUUACAAGAUCCAACAUGUUUUUCAAUACAUAUAUAAAAGCCUGCCUAUUGCUGUGCUUUUCACCUUCACUUUCAUAAUCAUGGUUGCACUUGAAACCAAAUUUGGCUAAGGCGCUGAGAGUCGUAGUCAUUGACCGUAAUCUCAGGAAGAGAGGCGCUAGUAUCUUUCACAUCCAUCACCUGCUCAUUCACCACAUGCAGAACCGUGCCAUCGCUUUGAAAUUGCCAUCGUUCCUCUACCCAUCCUUCGCAAGUUCCUACGGUGACUGAGUACCCUCCUGGAUAUGCACACUUGAGACACCCGUUUCGGUUCUUUUUAGGCCUGAUGGUCCCAUCUGGAUAUAUAGCCCAAAGUUGUUCAUCGUCGUUUUUCACGCACUUCUCUAACCACACUCGACUUCUACUUGCCAGCAAGCACAAACCAUUGUAACCAACAAUGGUGGUCACUGUUGGUUUCGUGUUAUUGCUGACAAACCAAGCUUGUGUAGAACUAUAAAUAUUGCGAUCUACAACCAGAUUAAUCAUGGUUGAGCUAUAUCUACUUGCCGUUAAAACUAGCCCCGAUUUGGGAUUUCUUAUGUUUCCAUCUCUCCGGAUUUCCCAUUUGGUAGCAUCAGGGACAGCUGUCACAAUCAUAGAUCAUCACAUAGUCCUUUAGGCUGUAUCCGUAAGUGGUUAGGCAUUUUCCACCGGAUCGAAUUGUGUUAUCAUCUGUUUUCAGCGUCCACAAUUGACCGGCCUGAUUCUCCAAACAUUCUGAUAAAACUAUUUUGUUUCCAUUGUGGUAGCUUCCUUGGUAUACAUCAACACAAAAACCAUCUAGACCAAUAAUAUGCGAGGUUGGUGCUAAAUCUUUUUCACAGGUGCGGUCAUUGUCUUCCAGGCCAGUGGACCUCGUAGCCACAGGCAACAAAGGGGAAAACCCAGACGACGCGUUGAUGUUGGCAUGCGCAAAAUCUGCAGAUGAGCCCCUGUGUUUCUUCUGCAUCGUGACGGCAUUAUUGCAAUGGUGAAAAUCACUUGCCUCACAGUGCUCAAAACUAAUUCUUGACCAUCAUAUACCAAACGGACUGCUGUUCUGAAGAUUCCAUCUGUUGCAGAUUGGAUGGCGGUGGAUAUGUCUUCCCAGCUAGUUUCAUACUCCAUCACUAAACCAUCUGGAUAAAACACACUGUAAGUUCCAUCAUGACGAGGCUCUGCAAUUGUAAGCAGUUCCUGUUGGAUGUUCCUCAAUCUCACAGCUUCCGAGAUCAUCUGGAUGCAAACUAUAAGGGCUCUUGCAAUGGGGCGACGAUCAGUACUAGGUUGUAUAUAAUUCAUGUUAUCAAUAUGUUGGCGCAGUUCACCAAUUCCCAAAGGGAUUUCCCUUCUGUACGCUCCUGCAGCAGUUUCAAGUGCCCCAUAGUUACCGGUAAAUGGAAGAGACAGGUCUUGAGUGUUUGGGAACAAAAUAUUGCGUACGUUAGUGGGAACAUCACUAAAGAAGGAGGAGUUUCCACUUCCACCUGGUUGAUAACCCAAGAUAUACACGUCACUGACGUCCAAAGCUAAUGUGACGGUUUGGUAUCCAUUUGAGAGUUUGACCAGAAGAUAUUGUUGGGGAUCAGAAGGUUCCGCAGAUCGGGGAGGCAACACUGGUAUGUCUCCACUUCGAUCUGCACGGACUGUCAAUGCAUUUUGCAGAUCUUUCAUAAACAUCUGAUACGACUUCCUGUCGGCACCCUUAGUGGUGAAUUUCACCGUGUAAAUUUUGAGCUUCUGUUCAUUUUCUUUGGCAGCGAUGCAGCAUCGUGGUUCCACCAUGAAUGCCAAUACCGCCAACAGUAAGAGAAUCCACGCCUUCAUUUUUCCUUGAAGAAAACUUUCUAUAUGAAGAAUAUUGGGUGAUAGAUUUUUGAACGUAGAGGGUUUUGCAAUGCUUCUAACGGGAAGAGGAGAGCACCUUUUAUAACAAUUUUGGUCGCCAACAUAUCAAACUCCUCCACCACACACAUCAAGACACGUGUCUAACGGUGAAUGGAUUGGUGGGGCCCCAAAUCUAGUACUUUCAUCCACUAGCAUGCACAAUAUUAAUGUGUUUGUUGAGUAGAUUAUAUUGAUAACCCAUCGUUCAUGUUAGUUCUAAGUAACUCAUAUUCUAUAGAUUGGGUCGCUUAGUCCGAUUGUACCUUCUCUAUAGUAUACAUAAUUAGCAUUUUGAAAUCUCUAACCUUUUAUCACGGAGACGGUUGUUUAGUAAAGAGAGGAAGUAUUGCAAACAAGUGAGUGAGAUGUAAUGAAAAAUAACAGAGAGUAAGAUUAGAGUAAAUCCACUAACAAUGAGCGCAACAACAGGUGGUAGUUGUCAAUCAAACUUAACAAAGAAGCAAGUUGGGAGAAUUUCAGAGAAAAUCUUUUGAGAUUAAAAUGUGGAAAAUGUCAAAAGCGUCAUGAGUUCUUUCAUCAAUUGUGAAAGACUCGUAUUUAUUGUGUUUCAAGAAUAGGAUUUACAAAUAUAAUAAUUAAUAUGAAUAAUGUAAUUAAUUUCCAGUUAUAAUUGCAUUAAAAAUUAAAAAAAAAGGUAGUGAAAGGUUUUGUGAGUAAUGGUGAAUAGUGAAGAAAAAUUCCGAGAAUAAUUCUUAACUACUUCGAUGUCUGAUCUACCAAACUAAGCUCUCCGGAACAUCCCAAAAGUAAAGGUAACCUAAAAAUCCUGUCAUAUUUUAGGGUUACUUUCACUUCUUCUAUUUGGGCAAAGCAGUAAGAUAUGAAAUAUCUUUCGCGAAACAUUUCUUGAAAAGCAAGAUGUGGCUGUUCUUAGAUGAGAGUCGUUCCUAAAUAAUGAUUUAUUUUGAUUUAUUCCAAAAUGUGAGCUGCUUUUACAUAGUUAUUCUCAGUGUAGAGGUUGCUUCGAAUAAGAGGAGUUAUGUGGUGAUACUUUUUUGGGUAAAACUUAUUCUAAAUAAUGGCUUUUUCAGAAGAAAAAAAAAACACAUUUGUUUUAAAUACAAAUUGUUACAAACAAUGAUUGUUCUAAAUAUAACUGUUUUUGAAACACUAUUAUUUUAAACAAGAAUUGUUCUGAACUUUAGUUGUUCUUAAUAAGAGUUCCCAAAUAACAAUUGUGCUGGAUGAUAGCUAUUUUAACUAAAGUCCUAUUCUGAAUAUAAUUAUUCUCGAACAACCAUUUUAAACAAGAAUUGUUGCUUCGAAAGAGAUAUACAUAAUUUCCUGAAAUAUAAUAACUUUUAUCUUUAAAAAAAAUAAAAAUGUUAAUAGCCAAAAAUGAAUAUCUACGUGUGAAUUAUGUUAAUUAAUGUUUAAAACUAUUAUAUGAAGAUAACAUUUAUAAAACAAUACACGUAAUUAAUUUUAUUUUAAGAAAGUCAAGGGUAUUUUCAUCCUAUCUUGUUUGUUAGUGUAUGAGUUUAUAUAUUGAUAGUAAAUAAAAUAUAAAUUUAUAUACUAAUAGUGAAUUAGAAUGUAUACGAAUAUAGUUCAUGAGUUAAACAAAUAAGAAAAAAAAAGUGAAAGUAAAAGUAAAAGUAAAAACAAAAGUAAAAAAAAUUGAUGCAAAAAGUAAACGAAAUUUUAAUUCAAAUGGUAAGUUUAAUAUUUAAAUAUAAAGAUAUAUUAUGUUGAUGUUUUUUUUAAAAAUUUAUUUUGGGUUUUAAAUUAUUUUUUAUAGAUUUUAUAUAAAAACGUAAAAGAAAAAGACAAAUUUAAUAUCAAAAUAUUUCAAUACAGUAUGAAUGAGAAAUCAUUUUUGUUAUAAUAUUGAUAUCAAUGAGAUAUGAUACAGAAUCUUGUGCUAACGUGUAUCAACUAUAAAAACUUAUUUUGAAAGUGAAACUAAGAAUGACGAUAAAGAGGUGAAGAUUAAAGAUGUUUAUGUAUCGUGUUGCUAUUAGCUUCUUUUUUUUAAUAAUUUCUUAAGUACACGUGAUUUCGAGUGUUGUCUAGUUAACCUUGUUACUCAUUUUACUAUUUAAUAAUAAAAUUUAUUAAUCAAUAACUCAAGACUAUGUUAUCCAAAUAAAGAAACAUCAUGGUGCAUGAAUGUAAAAUGAUUUAAUAACAAUUAAGGGUUAAUAUUUGAUGUACUAGUGAAUCAAAUAAUGACACAUAAUCCGAUUAAAUCCAUUCAAGAUAAUGUGUCAUCAUCUGAUUUUGAUAAUUUUGAAAAUAAAGAAAAAGAAAAGAAAAUGAUAUGAGGGAAAAACAUCAGGGAAACGAAGCUAGACUUGAAUAAGUCUCUAAUUAAAUACCUUCCUAAUUUAUAUUUUAAAAUUUAAAAUUUAGUCCAUAUACUUUAAUUUUGAGAUAUUGAGUUUUCUUAUAUAUUAAAAAAAACAUUUUUUUCAACUUAAUUAUUACUCCAUAAAAAAAAAUUUAAAAAAUUUAACAUUUUAAAUAAAUAUUCCUAAUAUUUGUUGUACUCAUAUUACGCUAGUUAAGAUAUUGUAUGGACAAAAUAACCGUAGAUAACCCUCCUCCAACCUUAACAUUGUUAGACCACGCCCAUAAACUUAAUAAUAAAAGGGCCCAAAUAGCCAACAACUGUUAGGGCUAGAAGGAAGGAGUCAAUCCCAAGGUGCCUUGGACUCCAAGACUAAGAAAUUUAUCAUGUGAAAGAUAAGCCUCAAAAGAAUUAUGGAAAUAUCUUGCCAUUUUCAUGUUUACAUUCCAUCAUCUCCUUUCUUAAGCUUUUUUUUCUUUCUAAAAUUCAUUUGGCCUAAAAGUUUACUUAAGUAUAGGAAAGUAAUUGAAGUUCAAACUUUGAUAUUUUUUUACUCACCCUUCUAACACGGAUUUUAAAGUAAUUGAAGUCCAUCAUCUCUCCCGGCCACUUUCAUUUAAAAUCUUUAAAAUUUUUAAAAUUUUAAAUUAGUAAAUGUAAAAUUAUACUUUAACCCCCUCAUAGAAAUAUAAAAAUUUAAUUUAAUCCUUUAAAAAUUAUAAAUACAUAAACUAUUAAAAUGGUGAAAUUACAUUUUUAUUAUCGUAAAAAUUACAAUUUAAUUUCGACCCUCCUUAAAAAAAAUUUUAAUUUUACCCCUACCUUCUAAUUUUGUAAAUCAAACCAAAUCCACAAUACUAUUGUAAAUAAACUAAGCUACUUGUAUGAAAUCACCCAUAUCUCAUAAUCCAACCAAAUCGAAUACUAUCACCUUCGCCUUCUGGUUCAAAGAAAAAAAAAAGCCUUUAUAAGACAUCCAACUCCUUCAUGCAAACCCCUACAAAGUUUGACCAAUGUAUUAUCCCGACAAAUACAUCAGAACAUUUUGUGACAUAAAAAUCCCUCGAAUUUCCACAAUAGUGGGCUAAACAUGGCUACACCAACAUCCACUUUGGAGCAUUCAGGUUAGCACUCAGCUACCAUGGCAAUAGCCAUGUUAGACUCAAGAUAUCUCAAGUAUCAACAUGCAAAUGCUUGCUUAAGUACUGCAAAAAUCUCACUGAACUCAACAACAGUCUACCUUACUUUCUUUCCCAACUGCAACAUGACACUCAAAUACCCAAAAAACAUUUUUUUUACAAAUUUUUAAAACAAAUUCAAAUGGGUUGUAAAAAAUUAAAUCAUUGGAUAAAUCAAAUAAAGUAUGAAAAUAUGUUAUCCCAUAAACGAGGAAACAAAAAAGCCUAACAACACUAGCUUUAUGAAAUUAGAUAAGAUGAUUUUUAUAAAAGCGAAAACUGCUUUGGAGGUGCGGGGAAUCGAACCCCGUGCCUCUCGCAUGCGAAGCGAGCGCUCUACCAUAUGAGCUACACCCCCAGAUGAUAUUCUAUCUCAAUAUUAGGUUAUCAUAUAUAAAACCAAAAAAUUUGGACAAACUUCAAUCCCUAUUCCAAUUAGCUCAUGGUCAACUCACCGUGUUCAACAACUUUAGUCUUGUAAGGGAUUUAGUGGCACCAUGAUCACUAUGAUCUGAGAUUGUAUUUUGGGGUUUUAUGGAUCAGGGCUGAUAUAAUCACAACGAAAAUGGUGACCCAUGUUCAGGCUUUUGGAUGAGAAAGCCAUUCCGGUUUGGCAGGGUGAUCCACAAAAUUCCUGUCUGUUAACCAUGAGUUCAACAUACACUGAUGGAAGGGGCCAACUACUGCAACCCUUGUUUUUUAACCCAAAGUCCAGCUUUUCCUACUACCAAGUAAGAGCUGUUUUAUAUGUUUCUUUCAUUGCAGAGCUCUUUGGAACAUGCAUUCAAGAAUCUCAGGUUUAAACCAUUUUUGGUUCCAUUUCAUUUCCUUGCUGUAAAUGAAAAGAGAAACAGGAAAAGAUGCUACCUUUCAAACUUGGAAAAUGGAUACAGGAAAACAUUUCAUUAAAAGAAUAUUACCUUCUUUUCAAGUAGAAACAAUCAGUUACAAAGAUGCUAUUACUAAUUCUAUUGUUGCCAAAGAAUUAUCAUGUACUUGUAUCUCUCUCACUUAGCCAAACCAUCUUCGAGCUUGGUUAUGCGUACUAUUGAGGAAGUGCCCUUCCGUAACAAAACUUACCUUUUCGGAAAGAAACUUCAAGUUGAAGAACAAGCUACCUUUUGCUGAGUAUUAUGCCCGCAAACAGCUAGAACGACAACAAAGUGAGGAAAAUUUUCCUGGCAGAGAGUAAUCCAAUUGCAAGGAUGGAUCAGUUGCGACAUCUUCAGCACAUGACCAAAUGUACACCCCUCGUUCGUCCCGGCUGCCUGGAACUGUGUUGUCGAGUACAAAUGCUACCAAGAGUGUAACCACCAUGCUCAUAGACAAGAGUGCAUUUAUAGAAAAAUCAAGCUGACAUGUUCAUAAAACAAACUUGUUAAAACUUUUUUUUCAUACAAUUAAGGAAAUCAAGAAAGACAUCAUAAAUCAUAAAAUCAAAGAAACCUGGGAUAAGUGUCUGCAUAUCUAUGUAUCAUCAGCUUAGCAACUAGAAUGGCGGCAAUCUAUAUCAAGAUUCAAAAAUAUGCACAACUUCAACUUACUUGUUCAUUAAUGGUGUGGACUGGUCCAUCUGAUGCAGCUGCAUACGGAACAAAAUAACUUGGCAGCAUCAAAAUUGACUCGGGUUGGUACUGUUGGAAAUAAGUAGGAAUGGAUAAACCAAGAAACAAGGACACCCCAACUAUGGUUAUGUUCCUAAAACUUGCUGUUUGCGUGUAUUGCAAGGUUGAGAGGCCUACAGCCACAACAAGGGCCCACAUGAAGCACAAAAUUGCAGCAGCCAAGGACAGUGGUAUUGAAGCAAGAAUUGCACCCACUUUUCCUGUCACGCACAAGUCAAUAAAUCAACAUAUAUUGAUUUCAUACAUAUAAGAUAAACAAGAUAAAUUAUUGAGCAAGGCAUAUUGAAUACAUAUGCAACCCAAUGGGUACUGUUCCAAAACUUCAUAGAGGUAUCAACCAGUAAGAUCAGAUUGAACCCCAAAUCAUUUAAAUCCAUUGACGUUGAAGAACAUUCUAUCAUCUAUCCGCAAUGCACAUCCAAGCUUGAAUUUUGACUUUACCUACAAUUGAGAAGAGGAUCAAGAAAAGUGCCCCAAAUACCAAAGCUCUUCGGCUUGCCAUCUUUGUUAUGUUUAUCGUAUGUGUAUUCUCUGUCAAAGUUGUUGAGCCAGUACCCGAACCCCAAAUUCCAGCAAGCAGGCUACAGAAACCUUCCAAAGCAAUGCCUCUGCUAACUACUCCAGGAGUUGGAGGCUUCGAACUGACUAGCAAAGAGGCAGAGUGAUAUGUUCCGACCUGCUUAGUAAUUGUAUCACAAGCAGCAAUGUAAGGGCCAUUAUCCUUAUUUCUUGUUCAGUGUCUUAAAUUUACAGAUAUUAAAAGUUAAAUAAAGUAUUUCCAUCACACAGUCCAUUUGAUACGAUAUUUUGGCACACAAUAAAUACUAACCGAAUCUACCGAAGCAACAAGUGACACAAUGAUCAUAAUCAAAGACGUCCGGAAAUGGAAGAUAGGGACACCCCACUGUAAAGGGUACGGAAUUCUGACCCAUGCAGCAGUUCUCCAUGCAUUUGAAGCAUCAGCUCUGCAAUGCUUCAUGGUAUAUGCAUGUUUUCUACACUCAUCAACUAAAAUGUUUGAACUGGGAAUGUCGGGACUGCAUCCUUUAUAAUCAUAAGCUCCUCCGGCUGUCAGAAAGAAUGCAUAUAUCCAUGUGAUUGUAACACUAAGAGGAACCUGCAGUGAUCGAACAAUGACAUGACGUCCAACAAAGAAUAUCCCUACCAAAAACAAAGAAUCUACCAUUUUCCUGGACAAACCAAAGUUGUUCAACAAAAUGAACUGCGGUAACUUUUUAAACACUUAAUAUUGUGAUUCUACUUCAACUAUGGUAGGGUAAGAAAGACCUUUCCUUGGGAAGCACUGCUAAUCAGCUUUUCAUGGGUAAAAAAAUUCAGCUUCCGUAAUGGCUGAUGGAACAGACACAAAUUAAUCCUUGAAUAGGAGUAGUGAAAGAAAGAAGAAAGAUUAUUCACAUGGUAGUUUUCAUCUUCUUCUUUUUUUUAAACUUUUAAGAGCAAUGUGACCUUAAUCAUUCUUAUGAAGGACAUUCCCACUCAGUUAGAUCUAUAUGACAAAUCCUUAUUACAUCCCAUUUCCGACUCAAUUAGACGAUGCAAUGGUUCAAAGAAUGUAUUGCUUGACAGUAAAAUAAGUUCAAUUUUUAAGGAAACUGAAUUAAAUAGAGCUUGGGGCAUUUUCAGGACAGAGGGGUCCUUUAACCACACCACAAAAAAACUAGAUAAAAACACCUUCACUGAUAACAUGAGGUGAUAAACAAUUGGUAAACAAUGGUAACAAAACAAACAUGACAAGAAGCAACAAAUUAUCUUGUCAUCCACCACUAUUAGGCUUUCAUCAUAAUGAAGUGAGAAACUUUUACGGCAGAUAGCCGGUUAGCUUUUAGCUGGUAGCUCAUUACCCCAAAGAAGGAACUCAAGAAAGGGUAGCUCGUGAGUAACACUAGAUAUUAAAAAUAAAAUUGAGGUCAAGGUUUAGAAAGUAUAAACAAGAUGAAGGGUGAGAGUACGUACUGCAUAUAUUCGAAACAAUCGGUGCCCAAAAAUGGAUAUUCCUCGAAGAUACUAGAAAAAAAAUGUAAAAUUGAGUAACUAUUUGGAAGACAUCAUUAAAAGGAAUAAUCAAAAUUAAAGUAUCAAAUAUGUUCAUAUGCUCAGUAGCUACCCAUAUUCAAUUUGUUUUGCUCAGGAAAUCACUCACCAGGGUACAUAUAAGAACCAACAAUAACAAGGGAACACUGACUUCUAUACAACUACCAGCUUGUGGAAAGCCAUAACUAAAGAAUGCUAAACCCACAGCGGCAACAGUUGGUGCAACCACAACUGGGUUAAUCCAUCUGCAAAGUGAGAUUAGAAUGAAACAGUUAACUCCAUAGGUGGUUUCAAAUUAUAUCAUUAACUAAAUGGUGUGCAGAUAGUUGACAUGGCAAUUUCUAAUGAUAUCCAUGAACAAGAAUUCUGAUAGAAUUACCUCAGUAAAAGAGACAUCAAUCCACUGAAUCCUAAGAUACUUUGGAAUAUUGAACCAACAAUAAUAGCUCCUUGCAGCUCUCUCAUUAUGUGCCUGAAUUUCUGCAUUAAAAGAAAAAAAAAAUGUAUUAUUGGAACUAGAGUCUAGAAAAAGAUAGUAUUGCAAGAAACACUAGUUUAAGCUUGCAAGACAUGAACUAGAGAUGCGCUCAAUCUUUUUACAGAUAGAGGAAAUUUUUUAUGAAAAUAAAGAGAUCACGUUCAUUAAUUUGACCAGAAUUUAGAGGAUCAAAGCCAUUUAUGGAGAAGUUAAAACUAUAUAAAAAAGAAAAGAUAUUGACAGCAGAAGGUAAAGCACUCAUUUUCCUCUGCUUACAUGUUCUGUGAGAUUUCUAUAAUCCCGAGCAUUGAUGAUAACUAGCGCUGGUGCCAGAUAGAUGAAUGAACUUCCUUGAACUAAUGGAAGCCGGGUGCCAAAGUAGGAGUGCAGAAUUGUACUAAUGCCAGAAACUAGCAGCAUUGUAGAAAUCACACUGGCAGUAUCUUUCUGCAAUGCAUAUCAGAAAUAUCACUGCAUUUCAUAUUCCAAUUCUGCUGCAAGUCAAGCAAUCAAUAAUUCCAUAGGAAAGGAAGCUUACAUCUGUUCCGCCCAUGGCUGGUACCAUAACUGAUGGAAUGAAUAUAAGCGAACCCGCCAAUGAUAAAAAGUGCUGCAGGCCAUAAUAUAUUAGUGCUCCUGUAGGUAAAGAUAACCGGAUGAGAACCGGUAGUGUGUACUGAUUUCUUCCUAGUUAUCCAGGACAUUUUAAGGAUUACGUGGCAACUACAAGAUUCAAGAACCCUGUAACUGCAGAAAGCAAUUCACGAUUUUGGUUUUUCAGUAGUUGGUAGCUACUGAAAGAUCAAUAAUAUUAUGUCCUUCCCUUUGGUUAAAGCCUCAAAUAUACCCAUGAUAUAAAUACGAACCAUGUUUGAAUUGGAUAUUUCAUAUAAAUGUUUGACAAUUUUCUAAGCUGACCAUGCAUUGAUGAGUCCUUUUUUACUUUCACAAAUCACAAGUGUAAAUGAAACAAAAAAACUAUAGCAGAACUAUCCAAGUUAGAACAUUAAGUCUAGAAAAAUCCAAACGCUCCAUCUGCGUGGAGAAGUUUGCUGAAAAAAGUAGAACUUUUUCAAUUUUCAUUUUUCUAUGAGCUUCUUCAAUUUUUCCUAGCUCUUACAGUAUCAUUUUCUAUGCUCUUUAAAAAUACACACCAAGCCAAGCCAUAGGAGACAUUAUCGCCAUAUCAACUCCAGCUUCUAGCUUCAUUCAGAAAUAUAAUAUCCACAUAGCUCGGAAAUCUAAAGUAAAUAACAGCCUACUUCAGCACUAGCUAACAUUAGUCGGUUCCAGCAUUACGAAGAAAACAGUAAUCAAUUCAUCUUCAACAAUGAACAUAAACAAACAAAAAGAAAAGUUGGAAAAAAGGAAACUAACCAAAACCCGGAUUAUCUCUCAACCCAACCUUCAACCCGGGAUGAUGACCAUUCCCCCCUUCAUGACCCUGCUCUUCACCUUCUGGAUACAUCCCAAUUUCCACAUCCCUUCCACCCUUUCCUUCCUCAUCCUUCUCUUCAACAACUAGUGGUGUAACACUUGCAACUCCAUUUCCUUUCCCAUUCCCAUUCCCAUUUUCCACCCCAUUCCCGUUUAACCCAACUUUCCUUUCCUCAACUUUCUCUCCCAAACCAUUCCCAUCUGCAACUGUCUUCCUUCCUUGUCUGGAUCCGGACCCAGAACCUGAAUCCAUUUCAAUUUCAACACCCAUAUUGGGUCUAGUCCGGCCCAAAACCGGAUCAAUCUCUAUUUUCGGAGAUGACCCGCCUGCUCUUUGAUCACGGCCACUUUUUCCCACAUGAAACCCAGUGGAACUGUCGAAUCUUUCAGUAGAACUAGCAGUGCCGGUUUCUCCAGAUAAGUGAGAGACGAAACCGGUUCUUUUAGCCCAAGAUCUUAACUCUCUUGGGUUAUGGUUUUGAUCUUUUUUAGGCACAAAAGGUUCAAUCUUUGGUAACAUUGAACCAAGCUUGUUGCCUCUUCCAUUUGAAGUCUCUGCCUUGUCUAGUGAAUCUGAGUUCGACCCAGUUUCCAUUUCAGCUUCUUCUCAAAUGCGUACCAAUUCUUUCCCCACACACACAAAAAAAACGAAUGACUAAUAAAAGGACCUCAGUGAACUACCAAGAAAAUCGAGAAAAAAAUAAAAGAGAGAAGGAAAUGUAGAAACUAAGUAAAGGCAGAUCGGUGCAGGGAAAGAUGAGAAAUUCAGAGGAAAAUAGUUUGGUAUGUUUUUGUUUGUAUUAUUAAGGAAAUUGGAAAGUAGGAACUGUGAGUGUGAAAAGUGAGGGAAUUUGUUUAUUUUAUCUUGUUCACUUUUUUUGGUUCUGCUUUCUUCUUCAUUGCCGCUGGCCAGUUGCUAUCAGUUGAAGUUUAUUAUUGCAAAUUACCCAGUUGCCACUGUAACGGCAAAAUUGAAUCCAGUCCUUCCCUUGUCCUUUUAUUUCUUUUUCAACAAAAAUCCGGCAUAAAUGGAUUUUUUUUCAUACCUCCAUCCACUUCCAAUCCAAUGUAAAUUUCUUAGUUUUUUAACUAUAAAUAUGAUCCAAAUUAAAAUAUGUGCUAAACUAAUAAAUGUAAAACGAGAUUAGAGAUUAAAUUAAUAUAAAAUAAUGUUUUUCUAAAAUAAGUUAUGAAUUGAUUUUAAUAUUUAAUUGGAUACCUAAAUCAAACAGCAUCAUGUAAUAUAAUAAAUACUUAAUUGGGUUACCAUUUAAUUUAAUUUUAAUAAAAGAAUAACUAAAUAAAUUGAUUUCAUGUGAGACUUACCAAAUAUUUUCACCGAGCAGUUUUGUGUAGACUAAUAUAAUAAUUCAUCAUAUAAACAAUACAAUCAUUUGAAUCUAUUUGUAAAUGUAAGUUACCAUCAUCAGAAUCACAUUUUAUUUUCCUAUUUUUGUGAUAUUGACUUAUAUUCCCCUACUUUAUUUUCUUUUUCCUUUGAAAAAUACUUAUUAACAAAUUUUAAAGUGAUGAAAUGAAAUUUCUAUCAACUAUUUAUUGAAAUAUAAAAGGAAAAAUUAGGCACAUGCCAUUUUUAAAAUGAAUUUAAUAAAUUAAGUCGAUUUUUCUUAAAUUUAGGAAAAUAAAUCGAUUUUGCAAGAGGUGAUUUCAGCUUCUCUCUCCUGUCACAUCAGCAUAAUCGUUUUGACUUUUUUUAAUUUAAUUUAUUACUAAUUUUUGAAGGGAUAAAUAUCGAAAUUAUAAAUGAACUCUGAUUCAAUAUGUAAUAUUAUACAUAAACUUUGAUUUUGUACAAUUAUAUAUAUGAAAUUUUGUUUGAUUCAUUUUUUAUUUUGUAAUUUUAUUAAAUUAGCAUUAUUUUAUAUAUUAAUACAAAUAAUAUAUUAAUACAAUAUGAAAAUAAAUAAAUAAAUUUAUUAAUUUAUUUAGAUGUGUACAAUUGAAUCAAAAUCAAAGUUUUAUAUAUACAAAUAAACCCUAAUUCAAGUUUACUAGGUAUAAUUGUACAUUGAUAUGAAGUUCAUGCAUAAAUUUAAUAUUUAUUCCAUUUUUAAACAAAUCAUUUGAAUAGCUCGGAUUCAAGGUUGAUAUAAUUUUUAUUUAGAAAAUUUUAACUGCAAUCUAAUUAGGUUUAUGAAUACUUUUGGUAUAAAAAAUUACUAAAGUUAUUAGGAUUUGAAUUUUAAAGUAGAUGUUAUUUUUAAAUUAUUAACUUUUAUUGUAUAAGAGAUAUUUAAAAAAAAACAAAUCGAACAAAUUUAAACUGAUUUCGAAAAUAUACAAUUAAGCUUAUAAAAUUUAAUUCAAAUUAAUUUAAUUAUCUACAAGAUUCAAUUCGAUUUAAAAAAAAAUAGAGAUAUUUCAAAUUUUCAACCAACAAAAAUAAUUUUUAUUUCUUUAGAAAAUGUGUUUAAUUGAAAAUUUUAAAAACGAUUUUUGAAAAACAAUAAUAUAUAAAAUUUAGAAAAUACAAAAAAAAAUAUUUCCAUUGUUUUGGCUAAAAAUACUUUACAAAGCUAAAAAUAAUGAAAAUAAAGGGUUAAACUAAAGUCAUAUAAAAAAAAAAAAAACCAAAACGGAGAGAAGUGAAAAACGCUCCCAAUAAAAGACGCUUUCAGUUUUUUUUUAAAUCGAAAUAUUUAUCUAAACUUACUAAAUUCGUUUUAAAAAUCACAUAUAUACCUAAUUUUUUCUUAUUAUUAUAAACGUGAAGAGGAAGAUUACUUAGAAUUCAGGAUUUGUAAAGGAUAGCUUUUUGAUUAGCAAAUAGAAUUGGAGAAUUACAAAAAAGGAUUAUGGGUCCCAACUCCCAACUCUCUCUACUUUCUUUUUCCAUUCUCAAUUCUUAUUCGUCACUUCAUUUAUACAUUUUAGCUUAAUCUUUACUUUUUCUUUCCUUCCUUUUUCAAGUACACAAAAAGUCGCUGUUUAAAUAAUAAUAAAUAAAUAAAACCUUACAGUCAAUUUCGUUGACAUGGACGUGCAGUUGCGGUUAUCCACUACAUUCUUUAAUUAGAUUUUAAUUUUUAAAUAGUUUUUUUUUCAAUUUUAUCAUUUUAAUUAAAUUUAUAUAUCAAUUUUUUUUUAUAAAUUUAUUACAUAAAUAUUUUCAUGUGUAACAAAAUCUAAUAUCGAAUUUAAAAUUUUGACAUAUAAGAAAAUAGCGGUUAAAAUUGAUUUAAUUAACAUAAUUAACGCAUUUGAUUUUUCCGAUUUCUAGUUGAAUAAAUUAAAAAUUCAGUUAAAUUAGUUAAAAUUAUUAAAUUAAUUAGGUAGGAAAAAUAAACUCGAAAAAUCAGUUGCUUACACUUAAUCCAUAUUUAUAACAUAUUGUAGCUUAAAUUUUUUUUAUAAAAUUGUACAAACCAACUCUAUUAAAUUUUUUAUUCUUUUAUGUUCGUCCUUAUACAAUUUAUAUUGGCGUGAAAAAUUAUUAAAUGUUUUUAUUUGUUGCAUUUAUCAAAAGUUUGGACUUUAUUGUUGAAUAGCCCUUUCAUUUGAAUUAUUUGUUUGGAAGGCCAUUUGGCCGACAAAUUAUGAAUUUAUUAUCAAUCACUAUAGAAGAAGAGCAAUAUAUACCUCUUUGGGUUGAUAAUUACAGCACCACUACUGCCUUGAAUCAGAAGCAUCAAUAAUAGAUGAUUAUGUUUUAACUUUUUCACUUAAUACUGAAAUUAUUAUUAUCUUGACAAUUUAAACCAUUGAGAAGAAAAUCUAUUAUUUUAGUGUAAAUUUAGUUUAUACCAUUAAGUGAAUUUCUUGCAUAUUCACAGUAAUACUAUUUUAUAGAAAGAAAUCUGAAAAGAAUUGUCCGCAAUAUCUUUGUUAUGCGCCAGAUCGGUUCAACUACAUGUAAAUCCAAGGCUUGAAUACUGAAACAGAGUGACAUCCUGGAAAUAUGCAUGUUCUUCCAUGUCAUCUCCAAUCAUAGGAUGUUAGCCCUGGAAAUAUGCAUGUUCUCUGAUUCUAAUAGAAAACUUGUUUGAUAAGGCGGAAAUAUUUACUAUCAGCUGACUUAUUGGACUCCUUUCAAUAGUUCCGACGAGAAGAAAACCACUGAUGCAAAGAGUUGCUUCCUUCUGCGAAUUUAUACAAAUCGAAAAGAUGAAAACGAUAUGGCGAGAAAUAAUAGCCAAUGCAGCAUUUUCAGUCAAAACAACAUAUAUAAGCAUCUAAUUAAAGCUCGGAAACACCCGGUUCGCAAGUCAUGAGGAAGAACUGCACUAUGGAAUUCAACGGAGCUAAGGAGAUGAAAUUAUAAGUCCAAAGCUUCAUCCCAUUCCAUAAAAAGCUAUUGGCAGAGACAUUUAACUGUGAGUUGUGAUUGACAAUGUUUGCAGUAUUGUCUGUAGGCAUACUACCAAGAAUGUCAAGAUAGAUUUUCAAAAGCAAAUAGAUGCAGAAUUCGGGUUUCUUCUGAAUUAGAACUAAGGUCGAACAUGAAUUGUUACCAGAAACUACAAGGGACUGCUCCGAAUGAAACAAUAAGGUUGGAAGGAAGAAUGGUGCCAUAAUGGCAGCAAUAAUAGUCAUUUGGACAGUUUGCAUUAACGAUUGCUGAUCCAUUUUCUCAGAAUCAUAGAUACCUACCUCAUAAUAUCCUAACACUUCCCUCUAGCCGUUAAUGAACAAGUAUGCAUCAAUGGUUAACUACCAAUUACCUCAAAAUGGUAGAUAACCUCAUAGUAUCCUAAUACAUUAAUCUUGUUCAUUAAAAUGCAUGUUCCAUACAGGCUUUCUAUUCCAGUGAUGUAUGCUGCAAGGAUUAUGUGCAGUGACUAUGCAAGCACGCAAUAGGAUGUAGCACCAAUUUCAUGAUGUUGCAAUUGUAACAUGAGUUCUAUCGAACCCGGUUUCAAUAAAACAAAGCAGAAUUCUUGAUAAGUUAUACUUGUCUCGAUAGCUUCCAAGUACAGACAGUAAAAGCUUUAGCUUACAGUCAAGCACAAAAAAGGCAUGAAGAACAAUCCGAACUUAUUCACAAAAACAGAUUUAAACAUAUUCUAGCCUUUAUUUCGAAGAAUGGGGAGCAUUUAAAGACACCAUAAAUCCAAUCAACUAGCCUUAGAAAUGAUCCACCACCAAUUAAAAAAAAAGGGAUUGAGCAGUUACCAUACAAAAACCCAUUUGGCAGGUUCUUUGAUUGCACUCGGGAGCUGGUUACUGGGGCCAUUUACAAGCUCCUUGUAACCACAUUUAUAACAAGGAACGAGAACAGCGUAUCCACCAUCAUCUUCAUCACCAUGAAAGCCAGGGCCGAGGGGUUCUUCCCACCCAAUGGACCAUCUGAUUCAUAUCCAGACAAAUGUAUACCAUCUGAUGGAACCACCACAACAUCAAAUUCUUUAUCAAUGACCCUCCUCUCCUCACUGCCUUGCCACUUUCCAUUUCCGGAUAUUUUUGUUUGGAAUUUAACAGUUUCAGCUCCCCAAUCAGAAGAAGAAUUCCCAGAAUUCAGAGAAGCCCCUUUUACAACAGGUUGUUUCUCUUUACUUGCACCACGGCUAAAUCGCCAUGGAAAAAAAGGAAAAGAAACUGCCAUUUUUCUUAGUAAUCUUAAGACUCCACAAAACUGUUCUUUCUUUAAGUCAAAAUUGCAGUUAACCUCUAAAUUAGGAAAUAGUUCAUUGAGUGUGAUAACUUAAAAACAACAAGACCAAAAUUUGAGAUGAUAUUAAUUGGAUCCAAAAGCUCGUAAAUUAAGCUCAAGCAGAACAGUCUGCUCUAUAGAUAUAUCUUCAGAAAAAAAUCAAACUUCAAACUUCAAACUUCAAACUUCAAACCCCAACAUCAACAUCAACAUCAAACGUCCAAAUUCGCUUACGUGGCUAUCGUAAAAUCCAACGUGAAGCUACCAAUUGUAUUUGCCUGUAGUCUCUUAUCUUAUUUCCUGUUUGGUUGGAAGACAAUUCCUGCAUAUUUUCCACAUAAACAGCACCAUUUUUGCAUGGUACCUUUUGAGUUUCUACAACUGCUUCCAGUGUUCAAAUCAUGCAAAUUACUUGCCAUCAGUAUCUGCAACAAUUUAGUAACUUGAAUACCUUGAAAAGUUGUACUUCCAAACUGCUUCAUCUUCUCCAAAUAAAGAAAGCUUUUCAUUGCACAAAAUUACUUACAGAUUCACUUUCAAGAAUUGCACUCAUAUAUCUAUCACAUGUUCCAAAGAUCUGCCACGUCUAUGACAAUGAGAUGCUUGACCAGCAACUUGCUUCGUCUUUCAAUGAUAGCAACAGAAUGUGGUUUAUACAAUGCCAGCGGAUCAACUAACUGUUUGAUUGCUUGUUUGUCUAAUUCUGUAUCCAAUCCCUAUAUUCUUCAAACCUUUCAAAUCUUGCUUCUUUGAUUUUUUAAUUAUAGAAAAUUAGUUUCUUUGUUUUUAACUCUUAUUUUCUAUGCCUAUGGCUGGGGGACCGUCGUGGAUCACUUGCGGUGCCCUUCGACCAGUACUGAUAAACUAACAGUACGAGCAUAGGAAACUUAGAAUCAGCUAUAAAAAUAGCACACAUCCCACACUGGUAGGAAACAAAGGCCAACACCCCGAGUGCAAUCCUAUAAACUAGUGAGGAGUGCUUAGUUGGAUCACGGAGCCGUGCAGUGAGCGCAGAGCGAACUAUUCUUUCGCCUUUUACUAAAGAAUACCGUGUGCUCGCUGCUAUUAGCGGCAUACGUCAAUUUCUGGAGGGCUCUUCAUAUUGGAGAGCUGCAACAAUUCUAGUUUAAACUUCAUAUGGUGUUGCUUUCACUUCAAAGAACCCUUACAGAAAUUCAUUUUUGUAACUAGGGUUAAUUAUUUAAGUAGGCACUUUAAUUUUUCUGAUAAAAAGAAGAUUUUCAUAUCUAGUGAAAAACAAAUAGACUAAUUUGUUUAUAUUAGUAUAUAAAGGAUUCUGCAAAAUAAUGGUCUCAAAUAACUAAGAUGCAUUUUCAUUACUUUUUUAAUAAUCUUUACCAAUUUAAAGGUACAGAGAAAAUCAAUUGUGAAUGUUGAUUAAAUAUGUAUUAAAUAUUAUAAAGUGAAAAUACGAAUUAUUUAAAUUGCAUAUAAUAAAAUUAUUAAAAUUUAUAUAUACGUUACCGCAAAAAUUAAAAUUCAUAAAAAUAUAAAAUAUCUUAAAUAUAAUUAUGAAACAUAAGUUUUUUUUUAGAUCAAAUUAUUAGUUCCUAUUUUUAUGAAUAAAUUAUAUAUUUAAUCAUUGUAUUCUAGUUUAAUCACUUUUUAAUCAUUAGUUUUUAAAUUUAGAACUUUGUCCAGAUUCAAACGAUAGUAGUAAUUUCAUUGGUAAAAAUUUUCCAUUAAUCUCAUAGUAUACUAAGUACUAAGUAGUACAUUUAGCAUAUAUUUUAAUUUAAUAAUUUUAAUAUUUAAAUUUUUUUAAAAUAGAGUUCUAACUAAUUAUAAAAUUCAUUAAUUAAAAUAAUAUAAUGUUUAUGAAUAUUAUAUGAAAAAUUAAUAUCACACUACAUAUGUAAAAAUAUGUUUCUCGUGUAAUAUUUUAAAAAUAAUAGAAUGAAUUUAAACUACCAUUUAAAUCCAAAUCACGGUUUCAAAAUUCGAUUAAAAAUAUCAAAAUAAAGUAAAAUUUUUUACCUGAGAAAGUUAAAGCAGCGAGUUAAAAAGCCCAUAGAUAGUGGCCCACUUAGCCCAAUCCAACCUUUACUACCUAACGGCUAGUCUCAUUUAAAUUCUAACGACGUCAAGUCUCCGUUCAAUUAAUUUUAAAUUCACGGCAUCCAUCUCUUAACGGCUCCUUUUGAAUCAUAUAUCUGUUUCUUUCGUUCACUUUCUCUUUUUUUCUUCCAUUUUCGUACAUAUUUUCUCUCCGUAAUCUUUCAAUUCUGAGAAACAGAAAAUUACCAGAAAAAAUUAGACUUUGGCGGAAUCCCCAUCAGAUGACGAAUCUAUUAUCUCUAAACCAGGUACAUUUCUGGGUUUUUCUUAUCUUCUAGUUCUUUUUUUUUUUUUUUUGCUCAGCUAUUUUUAGUUUUUUAGAGAAAGACUUUGAGAAACCACUCAACCUUCCAUUAAAAUAACAAUAAAAGAGCCAAGGAUCAAAUGUAGGAGAAAACUGAUAACUAAGUCCUUUUAGCCUUAGUCCUCUUGAAUUUAAGAAAAUAAUCAUUUUCUGCUUGUAGGUUUUUUUUUUUUUUGCAUUGUGAAGUUCUAAUUUGAAAUAUAUACAUAUUUAUUUUGUUGUUAUGUAGCUUUAGAGUUUUUUUUUAUAUAUAUUUUUCAAUUUACAUUUUUUUAUAAUUAGAUUUUGUAUUAUUUUCUGCCCUCCGUUUGUUUCCCCAGAGAUCCAUAGAAAAGAAAAUGACAAUUCGGUUUAAAUUCCUAAAGAAUUCUGAUGGAUUAUACUUUUAUAUGCUCAUAUAUAUUAUGGUCAUUUUCACUCCUAAAAGAUCUGUGCUUUGCUUACAAACAGGUGUAACUUUUUAACUAUAUUUUCCGGGAAAAAAAAUGGCAAAGGAAAAAGUUUAUGAAGAGCUAGGAGAAGUUAAAGUUCAGAACGAAAAGUUAAGGGAAGAUUUCAUAAGCAAAGCUGAAUUAUGUGAGCACUUGAAGAAAGUGCAGAAUGAGCAGGUAACGAAGAUCCGAGAAGCGAGUUCCAAAAUCGAGAAGUUGGCACAAGAGCUUCUUGAAAAAGAAGAAGAAAUCACGACAGUAAAGCGAUCAAAUGAAGAACUUAAAUGCAUCCUGAAUGAAAAAGAAUCUGCUGUCAAGCAUUUGAAUGUUGUAAAUGAGAAGCUGAGAGCUGAGCGUGAUGAAAGGAAUCGGAAAUCGGAGCAGGAAAAUCGAAGGUUGGUAUUGGCUUUAGAUGAAGCAAAUGAGGUGAAUAUAGAUCAAGAACAAAAGAUUAAUGUGCUUAAAGCCGAGAUUGAAGGUCUAAAAAUGGACCUAUCUGUUUCAAAGAAGAAGUGUUUAGAAGCCGAGAAGGCAGCCAAAAAUCCAAGGGUGCUGAGGGAAAGAGAAGAUUUGUUAAUCAAAGUAGAGGAAGAGAAGAGCAAGGUUGAAGAUCAGCUAAAAUGGAAGAAGGAGCAGUUCAAACAUUUAGAAGAAGCCCACGAGAAGCUUCGGGACCGGUUCAAAGCAAGUAAGAAAGAGUGGGAGCAAGAAAAAUCUGCAUUGCUCGAUGAGAUUUCUUCACUGCAGACAAGGUUAGAUUCAGAGAUCCGAGUAACGAGAGACCUCCAAAACCGGUUACAGGUGUGCAAUCAAGCCUUAUCUCGUGAAGAAACCCGAAGAAAGCACCUUGAAGUUGAAGUUUCGGAGUUCAAAACACACUAUGAAAACAUUUUCUCGGAAUGCCAGGAUGCAAAAUCACAACUGGACUGCUUGAAUUCUCAGAGGGACAAUGAAGUUGCGACUUUGAGACAUGUAUUGGGCACGAAGGAAUCGUUUUAUAAGGAAAUGGAAUAUCGAUCCGGAAAGCUGGAACAAGAAAACCAAGAGUUGCUGACAUCCCUCAAAGAACUCCGGGAAGCUAGAAUUCAGGAAGCUGGAAGUUCCUCGUCUCUUUCAAAACUGAAAAACAAGCUCAGAAGUGUGGAGCAGAUGCACAAGGACUGUUCAACAAAUCUUAGAGCUAAAGAAGCCGAAUGGAACUCUCAGCGGGAGGAAAUGACUAGGAAAUUAAACGAUUACAGCUCUCAGUUACAGAGUAAAGAUGCCGCUCUUAAAGUUCUCGAGAUGGAACUUGAAGGUUGCCUAUCUUCAGCUGUACAGUUGAAAUUGCAGAACGAGGAGAUUUCCGUGAUGUUGCUAGUAUUGAAGUCGGGAAUGUCAGAGGCUCGACUGAAACUUGCUAAUGUUGAGGCUGAGUUGGGCCUCCAUGAGAAAGAGAGGAUAGAGGAGCUUUCUAUUCUGAAACAGCAGCUGGAGAUGAAAGAUACUGCUUUGGCCGAUGCUCAGAAAGACAUUGAGGAUGAAUGUGAGAGGACAGCGAUUUUAUCCAGGAGGGUUGAUACUUUAGAUCAACUUGAGGAUAAGCAUCAGCUAAUGGAAAAAGAGCUCAAUAGAUGUAAAGAAAUGCUCGAGGAAUCAUCGAGGUGUCAACUUUGGUUGAAAGAACAAGCUUUGCAGGUGGAGAAUGAUUCAAAAGAAAAAAUUCGAGAAGUCUAUGAUGCUUUAGAUGCACUGAAUUCUGAACUGGCAGAAGAACGGGAGAAUGUAGCAUCUUUGUUAAGGAGAGUUGAGUCCUUGGAUCUUAUCGAAGGACAGCGGCUCCUGCUGCAGAAAGAGCUCGAGAAGUGCAAGGAAAUGCUCGAGGAAGCCGCUAAGUCUCAAAUACAGUUCAAAGAGCAAGCUUUGCAGAUGGAAAAUGAAUCCAGAGAGAAACUUAGAGAAGUUUGUGAUGCUUUAGAAACAACGAAAUCUGAAUUAACCAAAGAACAAGAGAGAACAGCUUCGUUGACGAUAAGGGUCGAGUUUUUAGAUCAGAUUGAAGAGCGGUGGCUCCAGACACAGGCAGAGCUUAAGAGGUAUAAAGAAAUGCUCGAGGAAGCAUGUAGGCGUCAAUGUCAGUUAGAAGAGCAAUCUGUGCAUAUGAAAAAUGAACUCGGGGAGAAACUAAAAGAAGUUUCUGAUGCUUUAGAAACUGCAAACAUUGAAUUGGCUGAAGAACGUGAGAAAACAGCUUCGUUAAUGAAGCGGAUUGAAUCGUCAGAUCAGUUGGAAGAACAGUUGGCCCUGAAGCAGAAAGAACUUGACAGAUACAAUGAACUGUUAGAGUCAUCCAGGUGCCAACUUCUAUUAGAAGAGCAAAUUUCUCGGACUGACAGUGACUCGGAAAGGGAACUGAAAGAAGUCCGCAAUGCCUUGGUGAAAGCAAAUUCUGAACUGUCAGAGAAAACUCGUGAAGGACAUGAACUCAAAUUUGAAUUGUGGAUAUGGGAAUCAAUCGCUGAGCGGUUAAAAGCCAAGCUUGAAGAAAGUCAGGCAUUGCGUAAAGAAUUAGAAGCUUCUCUUCUUGCACAAAUGGAUGUGGAGGAAAGUAUCAAGAAAGAGAAAGAAGACCUUGUCCGUAUAACCGAAGAAAAAGAUGGGAGAAUAGUUAAUCUCCAGCAGCAAAUGGUGUCACUAGUGCAAGAGCACACAGCUAGAGAACUAGAAGAAGCAGCCAAUUCGGCAGAGGACAGCGUUCAUCAACAGACAAGAGAACACGAAGCUGAAUUGGAGGCAAAGCAUAUGGAAAUGGAGGCUUUGGUCUAUGAACUCAAGGGUGAAAACAACACCAAGUUGUCAACAGACCGCGAAAACCUUCUUGGAUUUGUUACGAGCCUAGGUGAUUGGAUCAGCGAGUUCUCCGGUGAAGACGCUAAGCUGAUGGGGAUUUUGGGGAGGAUAGUGCAGUCUUUUGACAAUUGCAUUUCAGACAUGAAAGGUAAUGAUGAACUUUAUGACACUCUCAAGGAAAACAAGAAGAGUCUUAUUUCUUCUCCAGCAGCUAGAAAACCUGAUUCUCUUGUUGAAGAAAGAUCACCUUUUAGAGAGCUCAACUAGAAAUUAUUGAUUUCAUUUUCCUUUUCGGCUUCUGUAUAUGGAUAAAUUCGUGCAUGUAUUAUCUGCCAGUAACAGUUUACCACUUAACAUUCAUUGUUUCAUUUUUAAAUAACAAGAUAGCAUGUUUCUAAUGUAAUUUACCUUGUACGAUUAUCUACUGCAUCAGAUAUGGGUAUAUACAUAUAUAUAUAUAUAUAUUUGGCAGGUUUUUAGAGUCAUAUCCGUCCUUGCUCCUUAGUAUAGAUUAAUAUUUCAAACAAAAUAAAUGUACUUUUUGCGGAUUUAUAUGAUUUAAUUCAAUUUUCACAAAUUACUAAUAAUAUUAUCGAAUUAGCACCAUUUUAUGUUAAUAAAUUGCAUACACAAAUAAUUAUAUUGAUUCGAUAUGAAAAUAAAUAUAUGUAUUUGUUUAUUUAAAUGAGUACAAUUGAAUCAAAAUAAAAAUUUUAUGAAUACAUAUAAACCAUAAUUCAAAUUUACAUAUAUAAUUACACCAAAUAAAAUUACACAUUAAAUUAAAAUAAUUCACGUAUAAACUUACAUAUUUAUCCCUUUCUAAAUUCUCUAAUGUUUUAGAUCAUGAAUGACGACAACACCUGUCCUGCAUGCCAGCUAGGAGAAACGUGAUCCUGAUGUAAGAAAGCUCUAACCAUGGAAUGACAAAAACACCCUCAUAUCCUAGUCCACCAUGCAUGUCCAACAGUGGUAUUUUAAAUUUUACGGAAAUUUAUUUAUUUAAUAUAAAUAUUUAUUUAAAAGAAUUAAAUGAAUUAUAGCGUAUAGAUUCUAUAACUGGCAAGUGGCAACACAAUCCAUAAAAACAUAAACCCUUAUAUUUAACCGCACAAAAUAUUUCUUUAGUUUUUCGGUUCUUCCCUGUUCCGAGUCUGUUCUGUCUUGCCGCCUCCUAAGAAUCCGAUCCGAAUCAUUUGGGUUUACCCAAUAUUUCGCCCGUCGUCCGACCAUUUCUACUUAGCGGCGACGUUCUAUCGCCAAAACCGACCCUUAAUCCCAACCCCAAUCGUCCAUUCUCUUAAAAGACUUAAACCCCAAUGACUGAUAAAUUCACUUUUUGUCAAAAAGUUGCUAACUCAUCUCAAAACAAUGGUCAAACCAUCCACAAUAAGUCUGCAGAAGACCAAAGACGGGAAACCCAUUCUUUAAACAUGGGUUUCGAUCAAAAGAGAGGUGUAAAGCGAGGGAAAAAUGGGAAAAAUGAGCGGAAGAAAGGUCCUGGAGAGACGGGAAAUGUAAAGGGCUCAUUUUGGACUGCAUGUUCCUACUGCUAUUACAAGUUCGAGUAUGAGAAGAAGUAUGAAGAGUGCCGCUUGCGUUGUCGGAACUGUAGAAAAGGAUUUCAUGCAGUGGCGGUGGCGCCGCCGCCGGAAGGUUUAGCUGUGAAAUAUAGUUCUGGUAAUAGUUCAAUGGGUGACAAGAAGGAAACCAGACGGCGAGGUAAAGGGAAAAGGCAUGAUGUUGUGGAGAUUUCUGAUAGUGAUGAUGAGAAGAAGGAAUUGGGAGUGAAAAUUGAGGCUAAUAAAGUGAAAGCAGAAGGUUUCAACAAUAGUGAAGGUAGUGUUGUAAUGAAGAGACUAAAAUCUGUGGCAAGGAAUACAAAGAAAAUUGCAGGAAGAGGGAUAAAGAUCAAGAAAGUUGAGAAUGGAAUUGCAGAUGGUUGUAAUGAAGAUGAAGUGGAGGUCGUUGAUGAUAUAUUUGUUGGUUUGAGAGAUAUUAGCUGAUGGGAAAUCAAUGGUAUUAAGGGAUCCCUCACCAUAUGCUUGUAUGAUUCCCAACAGUAGACAGGUUAACAUGAAAGCAUAAUGUAUGCUUAUGUAGGCUAGUUUAGCUGACACUGUUGUUUACUAGCCUCAUUGUUGAAAAAAAAAUGCAGUAGUGAUGGCAUGGUUCUUGAAUCUUGACCAAAUUGUCGUUAUUUCAUCGCUAUUAAUUAAUGGAAACUGUGUUAUGGUUCUUGAGCAUGUGUUUUGAUGUUAUGUUUUAACUAUUUGUUCUUGAAGGGAUUGUUAUUCUCUGUUUUGAUGAUUUGUAUGUUAGAAGGGGCUUGAUUGAUAGUGUCAACUACUUUUUCUUUAACUGUUUUUGUAGGAUUUAGAGGACAGUUAUAUUUACUUGUGAAGCUGUUUGGCUUGAAUAAGAAUUCAAGCAGAAAUUUCCUGAUAAUCUCUCUCAAGCUUUGCAAGCCCAGUGUUAGCUUCUUUUGUUCAAAUGAAGAUUGACCCUUGGAUUAAAUCUAUGUUACUUGGAUUAUUUAUUUUCCUAAAGUACCCAUGUGUGACACAUAUUCGGAUAUGGGUACAGGUACAUCCUCCAAUAUAUGUAAUACUUAUGUUGGGCAUAUUCCUAUAUUCAACACACUCAAAAUGUCUUUCUGUGUUAUAGACUGAAUUUGUGGAUGCUUAGAAAUGGUGUCCUAGACACUGUCAUUGAUGUCCUAGACUGAAUUUGGUCUUCAUUCAUACAAAAAUUUCAGAAUGUCAGCUAUAGAAUUUCCAAUACUUCUUUGACUCAUACUGAUACUGCACUUAUAGAGUUUGAUAUUCCUAGAUGGUGAAAUCUAGCAUUUUGUCAUGUUAAGCUCUUCUUGUGCAUUUAUCUAUUAACAGAAUAUUCUUUUUCUGAAGCUAACUUUGAUUUUAGUUUAACUUGCUUAUGUUGUCAUGGCUGUGAGAGAGUUGGCAAUUUUUUUUUUAACUCCAGACAUGGAAUCAUAACAAAAUCAUGCAUAUUGGCCAAUAAAAGAAAAUUUCCUUUUUACAUGUUUUGUAAAUAAACUGUUCUUUAUAGUUUAUUUUCAUAAUUAUAUAUUUUUAGCUUAUUAUAUAGGCACGCAUGCAAAAACACACACAUACAUAUUGCACUUCACUUUGGCCUGAUUAUCAUGCAAAUCAUUGGAAUGUACUACUAAGGAUUAUCCUACACUGUGGCUAUUCCAAUUUUUUUUUUUUUUUUUUUUUCUGUGAAGAAUGAAUGAUAAAAUUGUGAAACAAACUUCAAGAUCAUAAUCAACAACUCUUAGAUACCAAUAUCUUAAAGAGUUAAAUGUCUAGAUUAUAUCAAAUAUUUCAUAAAAUCAGCCCAUGCUUGAUACAUUAACUCUCAUUUAUUAGCUUCGAUAUCUCUUAUUCUAUUUAUUGCGUGCAUAUGCCAUCUCGCUAAUAAGCAGUAAAAGGGAAAUACCUUGUUCAAUCUUGGAUCAAAAUCUCUCUUCCGAUCUACAAUCUUUCUUUCUACUGAACAAGUUCUACUGGAGGAAAAUCUGAGCUCCCCCAUGGUUCGUCUUAAACAGGUAACGGUUUACUGUUUUUCCCAUUUUCUCAUUUCUUAGUCGAGCAAUCUUCUUAUAAUCAUUUGUUUGUAUCUUCUGGUUUGUACCUACAGUUAGAACAGGAUAUACAACAGCAUCUCAGACGUUACCGUGCUUCAAUUUCCACCAUUGAUUUCAGCUUCAAAAGUUUGAAAAAGGUGACUAAACCUAAGGCUGAGGCCAACAUAGCCAAUGCCCUGAAACAUAAAACUGCUGAGAGGCAUCGAAGAAAGCGGAUCAGCCGACAGUUUGACAUGCUCCGAACCAUCCUACCGAACUUGAUCAAAGUAAGUGACGAAGAGAUUACAUAAAUUUAAUUACCAUUACAUUGAACUGUAGAUAUGAUAUAUUAACUUUUUGCAGAAAUUUUGUGGAAUUUUACUUAUUAAUAACAGCUUCCAUAAAACAUGGGUAUUGGGUUUGGGUUUGGGUUUAGGCCUGUUAGUUCAUGAAACCAUCUUUAAGAGGUGAUUGAGGUUUGAAUUUCAGCAUCUGCGGACCCUUCUAUUCCUCUAGUCUUAUGUUCCCAGAUUUGGUGCGAGUGUCAGCCAUAGAUAUUUAUCCUACACUAGUAUGCUUAAUUUGUUUCGCUCACUUUUUCAAUAUAUUAGAGGAUCAUACCCCCAAUCUUUCCAUGUAUCAGAUGCAAAUUUCAAAUACAGGUACUUUAAGAAAAAUGAAGAGUUCAGUAACAUAACCCUAAGCAACAGUCUCCUUUAUAAAAAUGAAAGGGUACUCAAGUCAAUCUAUUCAUUUCGUGCAACAGAUGGACAAGGCAUCUGUGUUGGGUGAGACAGUGAGGCAGGUAAGGGAGCUGAAAAACAGAGUAAAAGAAAUGAAAGGAGCUUCUGACGGAAGCUUGGAAUGUGUGCUCCCUGGUGAGUUGAACAGCUUAAGUUUUGGUUUUUCUGAAAAGGAUGGGAAUUUGGUAAAGGCUACAUUCAGCUGCGAUGACAGGCCAGAACUGAUAGCUGAUCUCACACGAGAAAUUAGGAAGGUGAGUGGGACGGUUGUGAGGGCUGAGAUGGUGUUUAUAGGAGGAAGGAAUAAAAGUGUGUUGUGGAUUAAAGGGUUUAGUGGAAAUGAACGGAUGGGGAUGCUCAAGAGAGCAUUGAAAAUGGCCAUAGAUAUACCUAAGAAGAAUUGGAACCCUCGUUUCAACAUCUGAUUAUUCUGUUGUGUGUGAAAUGGUAGUAAUUUCUAGCAGCUAUAAGGCUAUCGAAAAGGUUGGUUUUAUGAGUAUAUUUAAAGAACAAAUAAUGGUGAAUAGUGUGCUUUGUGUAUUCAAUUUCAUAGAUGUAGUUCUAUGACCUAGAACAACAGUUCGAAACACGACUGCCUCAAUUCUCAAAUUUAAUUAAUUUAUUUUCGUAAUAUGAUCUACAAGCACGACACAUUCGAAUGUUUCAAAACACUUACAAGUCGACAUCUUAAAUUUUAAACACAAUAGUUAUGAUAUGAUAAAAUACAGGUACAUGCCAAGCCUAGAUUUAGAUCACGUACCGAUCCUGCCUGUUCCUGGAAAGCUGAGAAAAUUGCAAAGUCGGUUUCACCGCUUAUAAAACACAAGUUCUCUGCUACAAUUGGUUUUGAUAGUCUCUUCUAAUUUCACAAGCCGAUCAAAAUCAACUUUGAAUGAAACCAUGGCGAUCCCAUCUUCGCCGGUAUCAUAAUCCUGUUUAAUGUCCUCUGGUACAAUUGUUUUGGUUGAAAUAAUUAUGCAUACGACUAACAGAAGCUAACGAUUAACCCUAAAAUAUUAAUUUACUUGGAAAACGAGGCAUAAUUCUAAUGCAAAACAAUGCUCACUUGACGGUAUAGAACUCGCGAGAGAUCGAAAGGAACAUCCACACCCAUUGGAACCUUUCGGAAAUUCCAAUCAAAUAUUAGAAUUUCAAUGUAUUGAAAUCGUAAAAUCUUCAAUUGUUUUCUUGCUUUAGAUUUGACAAGACAAAUCGGAGCAUUUCUCAAGCAUUCCGAUGUCACUCUACCGUAAGCCCUAACAAGUCCUACCGUUCCCAAUUUAAUUCCCCCAAAAGUAAUUAAUUUUACCUGAUGACGACCACAAUGACUUUAUCCAAACCCCAAAAAGGAACCGAAGAAUGAAUCGGCUUCCCCGCCGUUCCAGAAGGUUCACCGUCAUCACUCGACCGGUACUGAUCCCCAACCUAUAAUCCUUCUAACAACGUCAAAUUAUGAACUGAAAUUGAAUCAGAUAACCGAAGCUGCGUAUUAGAUACCUUAUAAGCCCAGCAAUUGUGAGUGGUACGGGGAUCCUUGACCUGACUGAGGAAAGACUGAGCAGAUGGUUAGUCGGAGAUGGGGCCAGCAAUGACUAUGAAUUUGGUCUUUUCUAUUUCCUUCUCGAAUGUUACUAUCUCUUGGAUUGUGGUAAAUGCGCCUCCAUUAGUGAUGGUGCUGGAGCUUCCGGCGGUGGUGACGGUAGGUUUUUUCUCUCUCGUUGCCGCCAUUAACCGUAUUCAAAUGGAAAGUCCAUUCACAUUUGGACAAAGCAUCGACAUCUUGUUGCCCAGUCUUUUAAAACUAUUUUGUCGUUAUUAUGUUGAUGGUCAAACCGCUUCGUAGUUCGAACAUUUUUUUAAAAUAUAUACAUCUCUCUUUAAGGUUUUAAAGACUAGCUUACCAAUGUUUUUAAAAAGUAUGAAAAGAUAUUUUUGAAAAUUUUAGUUUAAAAUUUGAGUGUUCAGUAUUAUUGUUAAAAAAUAUUUUUAAAAAAUAAAAUAUUUGUUUUAGACAUAUUAUUAUCAAAUAAUAAAUAUGUAUUUAAAUAAUAUUUAAAUUAAUUAAUAUUAUUAUAUUUUAGUAAGAAUAUAAAAAAAUUAUUAUAACUUGUUAAUAUUUGAAUAUGUGAAAUAGAAAUUUUAAAUAUUUUUAAGUAAUAAAUAUUAAUUAUUUAUAAAAUUUAAUUAGAUAUUAACACAUUUGUAUUAUUUUAAAAAAUAUUUUUUUAAUUAAUGAUUUUAACAUAUUUGUAAUUAAGCACCAAGAAAAAAAAUUAAAAAUAUUAUAUUAUUAGAUGGGUGAAAAAGUAAUUAAGCACUAAAAGUGCUUUUGGGAGAAGAAAAGCUAAAACUUUUAGAUUCUCAUUUACAUUUUUAAAUGUGCUUUUUAAAAACAAAAAAUUUCAGUUAAAAGCAGUUUGCUUAGCACAGAGCCCUAAGCUUUGUUAGGCCAAGUUGGAUGCCGUCUAUUUUGAAAGACAUAAAAAAUGAUAAUUAAAAUUUAUUUUUUAUAUUAAUAGUUGCACAUUAUAUAAACAUAUUUUUAUGGGUAAACUACACCAUAGGUCACUCAACUAUUGAUUUUUUUAAUUUGAUCACCCAACUAUUGGUCUUUUUUAUUGGUCACCCAACUAUCAAUUUUUUAGUUUGGCCACUCAAUUAAUCAAGAUUAUUAUUUUUUUGUCUAUUUCUAUAAAGUGUCACUAAAUCUCUGACGAGAGGGUGACAUGGCAAUUAAAAAAUUAGUACAAUAAUAAAAUUAGCCCUAAACUUUUACUUAUUAUAUGAAUUUAAUCAUAAUUUCAAAAAAAAUUAACCCUUAAAAUUUACCAAUAAUCUUAAUUUGAUCCUCAAAAUUUAUCUUCUUCUCCCGCUUCCCUCACUGCCAUUACCAUCAUUGUCUCCACCUCUACCACUACCUCCAACUAUCAAUAUUGUAAUAGCAAAAUCUGAAAUUGAUCUAAGAAUGGCAUGCUUAAGAUUUUGUCUUUAUUGUUGUUUGUGGUAGCUAGAAGUAAUAUUUUAGUUAAAGCAAAAUAUAUUUUAUUUCUUAAAAUAUUACACUAUUAAUAUUUUUAAUAAUUUAUUUCUCAAAAGCAUUAUCAAAUAUCAUGAAUCUUAAAAUUCUUAAAUUCAAUAGUAUAGCAAAGGAUACCACCUUCCCUUUUUUUAUACCUCUUUUAUCUAUUAUUUGGAAAAUAAGAGUUAAUUGUACUAAAUAUCUUUAAAUUUAUUUUUUAAUUUUAAAACAUUUUAAUUAUAUCUUUCAAUUAUCGGUUCUAUAUCAAUUAAGACAGUUAAAUAACAUGUCUAAUCUUAUUUGACAUAAUUUAAAAUAUUAAAAAAAUAAAACGUUACCAUAUAACUUUUAAAAGUUAAAACUAAAUAUAAAGUAAAAUAGAAAAAAUAGAGAACCAAUGAUAAAGCUUUUAUAAAAGCUUCAAAAACCUCAAAAUUGAGAUCUUUACAACAUUUAUUUUUAUUUAAGUUUUUUAUUUUAGAAUAUGUCACAUAAUAUUUGACAUCUUAUUUAACGAUUAAUUUAAUGAUUUUAGUAAUGGAAAGACUAUUAACACAACUUUGAUAGUUUGAAUAUGUAAUUAGAAUAUUAAAAUUUAUGAAUCAAAUUAAAAUGAAAAUUAUAGUUUAGAGAUGUAUAAUGCAAUUAACUCCAAAAUAAUUUCAUUAUUUAUGGCCUUAUUUAUUCUAAAAUGUUAACUAUUGCAAAACGCGAAAAUUGAGUACCAUAUUAAUCAGUACGUAAUGAAAUUCUCCGUACCAGCCAAAUAAAGGAAAGCUAAACAUUCUUUUUUUGAAUAAUUUCAUUAGAUGUUUUGAUCAUAUUUGUUCUUUUUUGACACAAUGUUUAAAACUACACAUAGCCCCUCUCAACCCAUAAAUAGGAGGAUAAUGCUUUUCAACGCACUUGAACCCACAUCCCCCUGCAUUGACAAAAUGUCCAUAUCAAUCGAGUUAAGACUCAAUAAACAAGGAAAGCUAAACAUUAAUUGGUAUGUAAUGAUAUUAAAAUUUUCCAAUACAUUUAAACAGUAAUGAUUAUUAUAUUAAAUAUUAAAAAAAAUGGAAUAGCUUCCCUUUUAUUAAACACAAGGUUUAAUAUUUGGUACUUAACACUAUUUCUUAAUUUGACAUUUAAUUUUUUUUUAAAAUUUAGUAUUUGAACUUACACUUUUUUAAUUUGAUAUCUGGAUUUGAUAUUUUUUUCUUUAAAUUGAUACUUAAUUUUUUGGGGUCCAAUUUGGUACUUAAAUUUGACUCUCUCUUUUUUAAUUUGAUGCGUAAUUUUUUUUCUUUUCUGAUUUGGUACCUAAACUUAUCAAAGAUUAUACAAAUUACUCCAAUAUACUAACAAUGUUAAUUUUUUUAUAAGGCAGCAAAAUAAUCAAUGUAUGACAAACAUAUGGCAAAUGAUAUGGUAUUUCUUUUUUGUAUUUUAAAUGUUCAAUUAUUUUUAGUUUUAUUUAUUUAUUUCAUUUUAUUAAUUUAAAUUAAUGAAUUUAUUUUAUUUUGGGUUUUUAGAACUCUUAUUUUCUUGUUCAAUAUUAAUCCGUUAAGUAUAGCUAAAUGCAUAUUUUUUUUAACACAAAUUUCCUCUUAUAUUGACGAUAAUUUUGUAACAUAGUAUAAAAUUUUUAACACCAUUAGUGUUUCGGGAUAAUUUAUAUAUCAUUUAACAAAAUUGGAUACCAAACUAAACCUAAAAAAACUUAAAUACCAAAUUAGCAAUUUGUUAAGUACUAAAUUAAAAAAAAUUAAGUAUAGAAACUAAAAUAUUAUACUAAGCCUAAACACAAUAUAACGGUUGCUAUUAGUGUAAGGAAUUCGAUAAGUAGAAUAAAUAGUAUAAAAAAAAUUAAAAGUAUUUAUUUCUUUAAUAACAUAGCUUUCCAAUAAUUUUAAAAAUUAAAAGUUUAUUAUUUAUGGAUAAAUUUCAUCAAUUAUAUUUCAAAAUAUACAUAUUAUUUGUUGUUUGACAUUAUAAGAUGUCUAAAAGGGUUAAAGAAAUAUUUUAUUAUAUUUAGGGGCUGGUGGACCCCACUCUCUAAAAUCAAUUUUUCUAUUUAGAUAUUUUAAAAUUUUUAAAAUUUUAAAUUAAUAAAAAUAAAAAUGUUGGCACACUUGGCAUACGUUGGCAACAAUUCGACGUUAUAUCAUUCAUUUUAAAUGAAAUAAAUCAUUUAAAUAUCUAAUUAAAUAAUUAACCAACUAAAAUAAAUUUUAAAAUUUUUUGAAUGACUUAAUGUUGCCAUUGAUGAUGGAAUAAACAAACUUUCCUAUAUGUAUAUAAUUGAUAUAUUAUUAAAAGGUUGAAAAGAGGUAAAGUUAAGAAUUAUUUCUGCCAUACUUCAACAAAAUGUCGGAGGCAAAUUCAUAUUGACAAGAUGGCUUCCAUACAUACCUCACCCCUCAUAAUUUAUUUAAAAAAUGAAACUUUUAAUCAUUUGUGGAUUUUAUAUAAUAGCGUAGCCUCCCAAUAGAUUUAUGCCCUACUAUAGAGGCAUGAAUGCUUCAUUAGCAUGUCAUGAUGAUAAUUGUUUUGUACAAGAAAAGUCGAUUCAUGGCAAGGUUUGUGAAUGCUCUUUAUAGGUAUGCAAAGUCGAUCAAGAGAAGUAAAUAAGAUGUUUUGGAGGUGAAUUUGGUGUACCGAUCCUUAAAACGUAAGCUUUGGAGGUCAUUGAUAUCAUCUUUCUACUUCUACUUAUACUUAAUUAUGUAGCUUUGUUAAUUGUUUUUCCAAGUUGCCUUUAUCAUUCUACACUUACUUUGUUGAAGCUUUAGCAAGAUACGCAUGGCUUCGCUGGUAGUUGCUUUUUAGCUAGUUGGGGGCUUUAAGAGGUUGCUCAGAAAUGUCAUUAGGGCUUUCAGAAGUAAACUUGUUUAAGGGUCGGGGGCAACAUUACCUUAAGCUCGAAAGUCUGCUCAAUUUUUGGUAGUGUUCAGAUAAAAAUAUAAUGUUCAAAAAAUGGGGUUACGCAUAAAAAAAAGAUUGUUUAAAAUAUGAGCAGGGCUCAGAUUGAAGCUUUCAAAGGAUAGCUCGUUUUCUAAAUUUGUAAUAUAUUAUAUUAUGUUAUUUUUAUAUAUCAUGUAUUUUAUAACACAAAAAAGUCAGAUUUUUAUAAAUAGACAUUAUGCCUAGUUCAUUGUUGCUACCAUUGUCUACAAGGAGCAAUGCCUAUUAUUAUUAUUAUUAUUAUUAUUAUUAUUAUUAUUAUCUUUCAUUGGUUUUAUCAAAGGGGGAGGAGACCUUUUGGCUUGGUCCUUAAGGGCAUAAAGUGGACGAGACCUUACACCUUAACCUUCGGUUAAUUCUACUAAGGCAGACGAGACCUCUCUAAGGGACGAGACUCCAAUUCUUGUCUUUCAAUUGUUCUCCAUAUGAGCAUAUUUACCAAGCUACACAACACAUGCCUAGUAACUAUCUUUCUAUUUUAUGAACCUACCUGGGGUGCGAGUGAGAUGGCCUUUUGGGGGUGUGGCAAAGUGCCCCCAAGUGACGCAAACGAGGGACUCCUCAAUGUGUUGGUGAAGUACUCCUUAGGUCCUUAGGUGACCUCUUAAUAGUGUUAGUGAAGGGCUCCUUAGUAGUCGGAGUGAGGGACCCAUAAUGCUAGUGAAGGGGCCUAUUGAUGUGUUGGUGAAGUACUCCUUGGAGAAUCCUUUAAUGGUGCAGGUGAUGUGUCUCUUGAUGUGUUGGCAAAGGGUCCCUUAAUGUGCCAACGAAGGACCAUUGAUAAUCCCUAUUGGGUGCGACAGAGGGCUUCUUGGUGUGUGGGUGAUAAGCCCUUUGGUGUGCUAGUGAAGGCUCUCUUGAUGUGGCAAAAUGCCUAUUGAUAUGUCGGUGAAGGGAUUCAUGGAGUGCGAGUGAGGGCUCCUUGUUGAUCCUUUUAUUGGUGCAAUAAAUACUUUUUUUUACAUAUUUGAGGGAAACGCCUUUGUUGCUCCCCAAGGUUGGAAGCUCUUAAAAACCCAAAUAUUAAGAGACUCUAUAAUGCUAAAAGUGUCGGACAAAACUCAAAAAUGGAGAAAGACAAAAGAGCUUAAAGGAAUUGAGCCAUGGAUUUUCAUUUAGGGAAGAGGCAUUCCCUUUUUUUCUCAAUUCUAACAAACAAUGUCAAUUAUUACAAACACAAAAGUUGGGGUGGUUUGUGUUGGAACAUAGUGAUAAAUUAUGUUUCUUGUUACUAAAAGUUAUUGAUACAGGUCACAAAGGCCCAACUCAAGCUCAAGAACGUGAUAGGCUAUUUCGUGUUCUUGGCUUCCAAGAAUAGCCAUUCAUAAGUGUUUUCGAUUCUUGCCUGAUUUUUUAUUGUUUUGGGUAUUUUCGUUUCAGAUCUAAUUGAUUCUGAGUUAAUUUUCUGUUUCGUUUUAGAUCUGAUUGCCUAAAGCUUUCUUAGGACUUUUCUCGUGACAUGGCAACUCGAUCUUGGUCCGCGCACAAUCUUCUAUCAGUUAUGUAACUUGACUAUGAACAAAAAGUUACAAUUAUUCAAGUAAUAUCUUAUGAAUAAUUGUGUUCAUUAUUAAUAGAUACGACUAUUCAGAUAAAUAUUUCUUAGAUAGUUAUAUUUCUAUAAAGAGACAUGAUAAUUUUUAUAAAUAGGAGAGAAAUUUCAUUUGCAUAUAUACGAAUAUAUACCAAAAUUUAAAAACAAAAGUUUCUCUAUCCACCUCCAUCUUAAUAGAAUUUGAUAUUGUUGCUAUACUCCACGUAAUGCUUAGUGGAUCAUUUUUGUCUAAUGUUUAGUGAAUCAUUUUUGUCAAUGCAAAAUGUAAACAGUCAUUGAACUUGAUUGUAUCGUUGAGACUUAUUUGCUAGUAGGGAAGUCAAUUUUAUCCCUACACAUCAAUGGUUUAUUACGGCGAUUUAUCCAUUUUUGCAUUAAUUAUAAGAUUUUUCAUUAUAUUUCCUUUCUUGGUUCUUUUUGCAAUGGCGUGGCUGUCCUCCUGCUCGAUCCCUCAAUUUCAUUUCGCAUUUAACCCUAAAAACUCAACUUGUCUUUCCCUACAUAAAGCUUCUUUUAUUGCAACAGUCUCUCCUCAGCCCCACUCCCUUUCACUCUCUCUUUUUGGCUUUAUUGUAUAAUGAAAAAUAUGCUCUUCCCCACAAGCCAUUGAUGAGCCCUUUUCAACACAAAGCUUUCACCUUCAUAAUGAAUUAAUUAGUUUUUGCUUUUCCUUUUUCCCCUGGGGUUUUAGUAUACCUCACAUUUUAGGGGUUUCUCUAGAAAAAUGACUGAAAAUCUUGACUGUUCAACCUCAAAUCUUCUCUGUUCUGAGAACACAAGCUCUUGCUUUGAUGGUGAUCUUGAUUUUAAUGCCAUGAACGAGUUUGGGGCUUCCCCUGCUUGUCAUCAACUCUUUAAAAACCAAAUCUUUAAUCAAAAUGACCCUUUCCUUAUGAACAACAGAUCAACUUCUUUGCUGGGUUGUCCUGGUUUUGCAUUACAAAGUGAUGAUGUAAUUAAGGAAAUGGUUGAAAAAGAGAUGGAGCAUUUGCCUAGAGAUGAUUAUCUUAAGAGACUGAGAAGUGGGGAUUUGGAGUUGAGUGCCAGGAGAGAGGCUAUUGAAUGGAUUUGGAAGGUUUGUUUAUUUUGCUAAGCUAUUUUUUUUCCUGAUCAGUUUUAUAUUGACAUUUUACUUGUUUGAUCCAUUUAACCGGUUUUUGUAACUGGGUUCUUGUUUAGCAACAGCAAUAUAGACUUUUCUCAGUAAAACUCAUCGCAUUGUGCAAUUUAAUGGAAUUUCCAUAGUUCGUUUGGAUCAAUCUAUUUCUUAGCUAUUGGUAGCAUUCUUUUAUAUUUAGUAAAUGUGUUUUCCCCCUUUUCUUUCAUUAUUCUUGUAAUUGGACACUUUGUUUGAUCAUUCCUCAGUGAUAAUGUGCUAGGAAUGAUGAUUUAAUCUUUCAUUUUUUAUUAACAGGCUUCAGCUUAUUUCAAUUUUGGACCUUUGAGUCUUUGCCUAUCCAUUAACUACUUGGAUCGGUUCCUAUCAAUGUAUGAUUUACCUGUAAGUUCUCAAAUUAGCUUCAAAUUUGGUUCUUUAAGUUCUUAAACCAUAAUCUAUUCACUGAUUGUUUCUAUCUUCUUGGGGGCACAGAGAGGUAAAACAUGGACUGUCCAACUGUUGGCCGUCGCAUGUUUAUCUAUUGCAGCUAAAAUGGAGGAAACAAAGGUGCCUUCAUCAGUAAACUUACAGGUGAUUACUAUAUAUAUAGAUUGAUUUUUCAUGAUUGUUAAUCCCUUGGUCUUUUUCCCAAUUUGAGUUUCAUGAUUGGGUUGUUUGCAGGUGGGGGAACCAAAGUUUGUGUUUGAAGCUAAAACAAUACAAAGAAUGGAACUAUUGGUUUUAAGUACAUUGAAGUGGAGAAUGCAAGUUUUAACACCUUGUUCCUUCAUUGAUCACUUCUUGAAUAAACUUAGUAAUGAUCAUCAAUAUCCAUCAUCAACUUCAAUCACUAGAUCAUUGCAGAUAAUAUUGAACACCACCAGAGGUUUAUUUCUCACUAUAUCUAUUUGUUUAUGUUAUUAUUAUUGAGAAUCAAUGGUGUUUGAUUGGGGAAAUGAAUGAAUGCAGGUAUUAAUUUGUUGGAGUUCAGACCUUCUGAAAUAGCAGCAGCAGUGGCCAUUUCUGUUUCAGGACAAAUGCAAAGAUGUGCCAUUGAUAAAGUUAUUUCAUCAUUCAUCUUUGUACAAAAGGUAAAAAUAAAAAAUAAAGAAGAUACAAAAGUGGUGGUGCCUGUAAAUACUUGAAAAACUCACAACAAGAGAAGAGUCAAUUACUUUUAUUUUUUAUUUUGCAGGAAAGAGUGUUGAAGUGUGUUGAAGUGAUGAAAGAUUUGACAUUCAUUAAUGGCUCAGCUGCUACUACUUCAGCUACAUCAUCGGUGCCCCAAAGCCCCAUUGGGGUAUUAGAUGGUGCAGCAUGUUUGAGCUAUAAAAGUGAUGAAAUAAAACAUGGGCUAUUUGCAAAUUGUUCUCAUCCUACACCAGAUCUUAAAAGGAGGAAACUAGACAAAUCACCUCAACCGGAUCACAUCUGAAAUUUUCCCUGGAAUAAAAUUUUAAGGUGAAAAAUAAAAAAAACAAAUAUGGGUCAAAGUUGAAGAGAAGUGAAUGGUGCCUCAGCCAUUGCCAUGGAGGUGGUGUUUUUGGAAACAAAUACUGCAGCUUUAUUAUUAUUACCAUUUGUUGUAGAUUAGAUUUCAAUUACAGAGAGAGGGGAGAAAUAUCAUGUCAGAAAUUAUAAGCAAAAGAGUGUAAUAUUCUUUCAGGCAGCAAUUAGAGUGUAAUUAUGGGCAUUCUAAUCAUAAUUGAAAAAUGCUGUUAUUUCUUGAUGGUGGGUGGUUUGUGUAAACCCAAAACUGAACCAAACCUCAGAUGUUGACCGGUCUUACUCUAAACCCAAUACUAUACCUUUAAUUUAUUUAAGUUGUCUGUUUCUGAAUUCUGAAAUAAAAACAGAAAACACAAAAAUAAAUGUGAGGGCAGAAGCCUUGGGAAUCCGCAGGCUACUUACUCACUGCCAUCAAAUUUCCCACAUCCUCUUCUCUUUAAAAGUAAUUCAUAUAUUAAUCUUUAUAAUAUGAAAAUGUUACUUUAAUAAUUAUAAUUUAAUUCUAUGACAUGUCUCUGACAAGUUGAUAUAUGUCAUUGAGAAAUAGUUGCUCCACGUGUUCUUUUUUAUAUAAUUAAAUUAUAAGAUAAGCUUGAGAAUAGAAAAAACUUGUAAUAUAUGAUAUCUUAAAUCUAAUUAUGACACAUAAAAUAAUAUAUAUCCUCCAAUAUAAACUAUAUCAUUGAGAUUUACAAUAGCAUUUUUAUCGUCACAUCGUUUUGUUAAAGAAAAAAACAGAACAUACAUAUUCUUUGUAUUCUUUCCUCCUUAACAGCCAUCAGAGCUUCCAAGGGAGGGGAGCAUGUAUUAUCAGAUGCUCGAUCCCGAGCAGCCGAGUAAACCCAUUGCACGAUAACGUCGUGUGACGGAGUAUCACGAGAGAUUGUGAUGUCAGCUAUGGAGUUGCAAAGCUUCCUUUAGGCAUGUAACAGCACCGUCAUAGUUUAAGAAGCCCAUGAACCAAAAUUCAUGACUAUCAACGGUGAUAACUUGGAUGUACUUUUCAGCACAAUUGAGUCGGCUCGUCGAAGGAUUAACCGCUUUAAGUUGAUGUAAUGUGAUAACUACCUGUUUUAAGCAGAGUAAGAAUGUCGAGAAUCAUAUGAAUCUCAUAUAUAUAUAUAUAUUUCCAUACCCAUCAAACACAAAUAUUUCAAUAAAAAUGAAAGGUUAUAACCUUAUAGUAGCUCCAUUCAGUUUGGGUACCAUUUUUAUAGGGAAGGGGAGUGUCACUGCAAUAUGCAAGCUUUGCUGUAGAUACAUAUAAAAUUCCCAUGACAGGUCCAGCUGACGUGGACAAAUAACAUACAAAUGAAUUCCCAAGUUGCUCUUCCGGAUCCGUUACAAAAGUGUGUCUGAAUAUCUUCUCAUACCCACCUUCUGCUAAAACCUUUGUUCCUUGUGCGAUUCUUCCCAUGGCUGCCUCUGCCAAACUCGGGCUUGUUUUUACUGUUUAAAUAGAUAUUUAAGGUUUUUUUCCAAUAUUAUAUACUUAAACUUGGAUUUAAUGUUUAAUUUGAAAGCUAAAGUUUAUUUUGGUUCGAUUAAGGGUGAGUUUGGAUGAGCGGUGCGUUUACCUGCGGUUAGUGUAAAAACAGCGGUGACGGUGAGAUUAAAUACUGUAGCGAUACUAUAGCGUGAGACAAAAAGUAAACUAAACGCACCGCACCGCACUCAAUCGCCCAUCCAAACCCAACCUAAGUAUCUAAACUUUGCUUCUUGGUUCAAAAUGGUAUAAGAAAUCAAGCUUAGGUACUUGGUUAUUUGAACUAUAAAAUUAAAUUCAUGUGUUAAUUCAAACAAAAAAUCAAAUCCAGAUACCUAAUUGGAUAAAAAUAAAAUUUAAAUACCAAAAUAAAUCUUGAGUUCAAUUCAAGUAUAAUUGAAAAAAAAAAUUAAAUACCAAUUUUAACUUUGAGGGCCAUAAUAUAUAUUUUCCUUAAAAAAUAUAUAAGAAAAAAAAGCAAAUUAACAGGGGAAACAUACAAUGCUGCCACGUGUUCCCUGCAAGAUCCUCGGCUUUUCUCGUGGCUUCUCCCACUUUUCUCCCCCAUCUCCCCAAGACAUCCUUCACAGUGUCCAUUUUCUCUGUGUUCGAUUUCAAGAUGAAUUAAAAUUUUCAAAAUGAAAGAUAACAAUGGAAAUAAAUGUGUUGUAAUUGCUUGCCUUUGAAGGAAGUCGAAAAUGAUUCCGGAGCAGGAGACUGAGCAAUGUAAGGAUUGGAUCCGUUAACAGCGGACAUGGUGACGCUGUGAUCCGCAGCAGGCGAUUCACUAACUAACUCGGCGCUCCAACGAACAGAUUUCCUGGACCCGGUUGAUGUUUGAUUCGGUGACCGCUCGCUUUGAACCUCAUUCUCUUUCGGAUUCUGAGCCUCUUUCUCUUCUUCUUUCUCCGGUUCUGUUGUUGGCACAAUAACAAAUUCAUCCGCGUCCAUUUCGGGAUCCGACUCUUUCCGGUUCGGUUCUUCGGCCGGUGAGCUGGACUUUGACUCGGCUACCGUCGUCCAUUGUUCCAUUCUUGUAGAACGUUCAGAAAAAAUGGCUCCACGUGAAGUGGCGUGGGUUUUUUGUUGGAAGUUUAGUCGGAGGCUGGUAUUUGAUCUUUGUAUUUUUCUUUUUAAAGAAAAGAAUAACUUGAGCUGACCAGAACUGGAAAAAGGAAGGAAUAACUUAAGCAGCGAAAUUGCUAACAGUAAUAAUAUGCAACCUACGCUCUCACACCAACUUUAAUACUUAUUACAAAUUAGUAGCGGUCAGUCACUCAGUUGGUUAAUAAUUUUUUAAAAUUUUAGUUACCCAUUAAUUCGAUUCAAAAUAGGUAACUAAUCAAAUUAAUCGAAAUAAAUAAUAUAUAAUAUAUUUGUAUUAGAAAUGUAUUUUUUGAAUUAUUAUUUUUUAUAUUAAUCAAAAUAAAUAUUAUAUAUUAUAUAUAAUAUAUUUUGUGAACUAUUAAAAAAAAGAAAAUGAACAUUAGUAAUGUUUUAUAUUUAUUUUAACCAAAAGACAAGAAUAUAUAAAUUUCGAUUAAUUCGGUGUUAACCGUCUAAAUUAGUCGAAAUAUUUUGAUUUGAUUAAUGUAUUUAAAAAAAGUAAUUCAAUUAGUGGUUAAAGAUUUUUAUAUUUUAAGUAAUUUAAUUAAUAAUAAUUUGAUUCGAUUAAUAAUUGAACUGACCAAUUAAACACCCCGUAAUGAUAUGCACAAAAAUACAACACAUGAAUAACAUGUUUUAAUUUAGUAUGAGUUUUAUUAUAUAAUCGUGUUUUACGUAAUAACCAUGUCGAUCAAAUACAAGUAAGACGUCGAGACAUGACUGAGACGUAAUUAAUUAGCUCAAAGAUUACCCUCAAUUUUUGUUGGAAUACAUGUAUUGAUGGAUUAUAAUUAUUAGUUUGUCAAAAUUUAUUUUCAUUGUUUGUUUAGUUAUGUACAUUUAGAAUUUUUUCUAUGAAUAUUUUAUAAUAUUUAUGAUUUUUUAAAUAUUUUGAAAAAAUUCUAUGUAUUUAUUAAUUUUUUUAAUUUUGUAUAAUUAUAUUUUUUAAAUUUUAGAAGAACGACGGAAUUCAUCAAAUUGAUAAAUAUGUAAACCUUCAAGGUUAGCAUUUAUGAAUGAUAAAAAAAAGUUUACUAUCCUCCUUUUCUGCACAAAUAAGAUGUUUAUCAUUCAAUCUGAGUAUUUUUGUUUGAUUUUAUUGGCUCAUGAUUCUUUACCAAACAAAUCGUUUUUUUUUUACCUAAAUAAUAAAAAAUAAUAAUUAAUUAAAAAAGUAUGAAAAAUAAAUUAAUUAUAAAAAUAAGCCUUAGUUACAGUGUUUUGACGGUGCUAUUUGACAAAUUGGCAACAUUAGACUAAAAUAUAAUGACCUAAAAUAUUCAGGAAUUUGAUACGUAAAUUUUCUAUUUUGGUUGGCGGCUUGGUAGUUUAGCGGCAUCAAACUUGAAAUAGGUAAAUUAUUCCAUAAACCCCCUUAUUUAUUAUUUUCUUUUAUUUCCCUUUAACACCAAAAAUAAAUAAAAUAAUGAUUUUUUUUUAGAUUGUUCAAGGUCUCCUGGUGAUAUUCAUGGCUGCCACGGAUGAAAUUGAAGCGAGUUCAUGCCGACCCUCAGCAGCUUCUCGAUCAUAGGUCUCAAUCGCGAUACUAGACCCAGAGUGUUUUGGUGAAACGACGAUUAUUUGGAAGCUCCUCCAAGAUCCCAUCAAUGUCGAUAUUUGUCAUUUCCUUUUUUAUUUGCUCGAAUUAAAAAUCUGCUCUACUGCACCCAUUAUCAAUUAAAAAUAUUAAAAGUCUUCAAUGAAAAAGAUAGGGGGAAAAACCCGGACAAAAGGAAUAUUGAGAUAAAAAAAAAAUGGGGUUAAUGUAGGGUUGGUGAGAGAUAUCAAAGGAAGUAAAUACAGAGAUGAUUUUUUAAGAUAUAUAUAAUCAAAUAUGAACAAAUUAGAAGCAAACAUAAAUAAAAAUAAAAUUGCUUUAUGUUGAUUUAAAUUGAGAAAUGAGAUAUUAUACCUUAUAAGUAAAAAAAAGAAAACAGACGAAAAAGAGUGAGUUUUGAAUAACAGAAUAGUAAGGAAAAAUAUUUUUCGCAAAAUAAAUAACUUUUGUGGUGUUAAAAGAAAGGAAAAGCAAAGAACUUAAGUGACAACCAAAACGGGAAAUUUACAUAUCAGGUCCUUAAAUAUUUUAAAUCAUCACAUUUUAAUUUUGUGUUGCCAAUAUGUUAUCAAACAUUGUAGCAAAUACCUAUUUUUAUAAUUAAUUUAUUUUUCAUACAUUUUUUAUAAUUAAUUAUUUUAUAUUAUUUUGAUAAAAAAACCUAAAUGAAAUAAAUUUUCAUAUCUUAUAUAUUAAUUAACCAUAGUAAUUAUGGUUAUAGUUUUCAUUAUUUGAAUAUAUCCUAAUCAUUAGGAAAAAAAUUAAUCAUUAUAAAACAUAAUUAAAUAUCUUUAUUUUUAUUAAUCUUU